CGAUCGAUUCGUGAUCAGCCCGGCUAAUCACAAAAAAAGCUAUACCAUUUUUACAAAUUAAAAAAAACUAUUAUAUUAGUUAAUAUUGGAGUAGGGAGUGUUUGGCAGGAGUAAGAGUUGCGACGUGGAAGAAUGAUGGCCACAAGAAGUUUAGAAAGGUGGUGACUAUUGAGUAUAAAAGUAUUAUCUUCCUGCUGUUCCAAUAUCUAGAUAUCUUUAUGACAAAAAAUGGGACCAGAAAACACGAUAAUUGUUUUUAUUUGCCGACAAUAACUCUCCAAGUACUCAACUCCGUGAUUAAUACACACCAAUUCAAUUAUAUUUUAAGAAGUUAAUUUGAUGUGCCAAUUAUCGAUACAAAAAAGAGACAUUCUGGUGCACAGUAGAAACUAUUCAGGUGGUUUGUUUAGUUUUGUAAAGAAAUUAUUAUGAACAAAUUCAUGGUUAGAUCCCUUAUGGAUAGUGGAUAGAUCAUUGAGAUUUUUGAAAGAGAAUUUGCAUCAUGUUCCGUGAGUAAUACACAUCGAUAUUUAUCAAUAUAAAAUAAAAAAAUAGAAAGUAAACAUUAUAUUGGUGUUUAUUUUGUGAAUUGUGUUGGAUUAGAAUUAAAAACUUUUAAAUUAUCACACACAUAAUUUUACCAUCAGAAUAAUUCCACUUCAAUACAUUGUAGUUGUUACGGUAAGGUUAAGUAAAAAUGAAAACCAAACUCUUAAUUUUAAUUUAAUCAUAUAGUUAAAGAAUUUCCAAAUAAGAAUAUGAACAAAAAUGUAAACAUCUAAUUCUAGCUAUUAUUCAAUUCCCAAAGCCACGUUACACAACAACACCAUCACAUGACUAACCACAAACAUAAACAGAAAAGAACCAGAUAGAAAAACAACAAGUACAACUGCAACAUAAUUAAUUAACACGCAGAUUUUUCAGCGGCGGGGAAUUAAACUAAAAUAAAAAAACAUGCAUAAUUAUUUUCAAUUUUCAUCCAUUUACUUCUUGGCAGUGGCGUUGUGGAUGGCCUGCUUCCCCUGCUCGACGUAGUGGGUGGUGCCGGCGACGACUGUGUCCUUAACGCCGAUCGCCCCCUCCUUGGUGUUGGCCACGAUCCCCGGGCCGGCCGGUGCAACCACGGCUGGCUUCUUCUCCUCGGCCUUGCCGCCGCCGGGCAUCAUGUCUUGGGCUUUCUUCAAUAGUCCGUCCAUAUCUAGUUAUAAACAAGUAGGAUUCAAAGAGAUGGGAAAUUGGUACGUAAGAGAUUUUAGUGUGUUUUGAUGGGUUUCAUGGGAUAUAUGGUACGUACUAGUUAUAUAGUGGUACAAAUUUUGGGAAGUUUGGAAGAUAUUUUGAUUGGCUUUUGCUGUGUGUGGCUUACAAUUGGCUUGCCGACAUCGAAAUGAACAGGUUCUACGUGAUAGUCUUUACACGUUGCUCUUUGCUGCUUUUUCUUUAACAUGAAUAUAUACUGAUAAAAGGUGGGACCAUUUAUGAGCCGGGCAGCUCGAUCGCAAGCAGUUCGGUUUAAAUAUUCGCUUUUGAAAUUGGUUUAAUUUGACCUGAUAGAUUCAUGAGCUAAUUCGAGUUCGAGAAUCAGGUCUAGUAUAUGGAUCAUUUGUAAAUUUAAUAAUGUAGUGUGUACAUGAUUGCUUCAAAUUACGUACGGUAAAUCACAUGUAAUUUGUAAUUAUGCUAAUGAAAAUACUGGUACAUCGUUUAAGUUUAAUUAACCAUCUUAAGUGGGAAAAGUAUAAACUUGUAAAGUUUUAGGAUAAUUUUUUCUUUUAGGUUUGACUCAUCGAAGUUUCUAGUGUACAAGCUUCCAAUUCUCCGUCCAAAUUGGACUCAUUGGGGGUUUUUUAAGAGUAAAGUUCGAGAUGACCUCGAGUUUCAUUCGCCAAGGUUAGUUAACGAGGCAAAUUUGAAUAAGCUCUAACUCGACAUAAGUUAAAAUAUUUUAACUCAAACACGUUUAAAAAAUAAUUAACUAAUAUUCUUAAACACGAUAAAUUUUGACUCGAAUCGAUUUGUAAACCGUCUUAAAAAUGAUGAUGAGUGAGAUUAUAUAUAUAGAUAAUUUGAAUGGUUUUAUGCAUAUAGAUUGAUAAUUUGGAUUAUUUUUUGUUAGUUGUGGUUUGCUUUGAGUGCCUUUUUUAACUUGUUGUGGAGUAGUCAUAAGAGUAGUAGCUUGCCACACACAGUCUAUACUCUGUACGAUGUGGCUUUAAUUGAUGGGAAGCCAAUCAAGAUCAUGGGUUGGUUUUUGUCAGCUUUUAUAAUAAUCUGACUGAAUUAUUUGAUUUUGAGUCAUAAUAUCUAACCGAAAAAUAUUUAGGAUAGGACCAGAAAAAGCCAACACAAGUAUAGUUGCCGACAUACNNNNNNNNNNNNNNNNNNNUAAUAAUGUCGACCACUGAGAGGUUUUGUGGAUAUGCUUUCGAGAUGCCUCAUAGCCAAUGCCAUAUUUUGCUUCUUCUUGGAAUUAUUUGUAAAAAUAUACUAAACCUACGGAAAUANNNNNNNNNNNNNNNNNNNNNNNNNNNNNNNNNNNNNNNNNNGGAAAUAUUAAAGUCGAUAAUCCGGAUUUGAAGGGUGCUUUGGUCUCAUUGUUUGUUUUAAGUAAAUUUUUAAAAUAUUUGUACAGUUCUCCAUUCUUAAUAUAGCUUACUUUUGUUGAUAAAAAAAAAUAAGGGGAACUAAUUUUUUCAUUUUCACCAAAUUCUAAUUUUAUUCCACAUUCCGCCUCAUAAAAUACCAACAGAUCACUAAUUUAUGAGGAAUGAGUGUUUAAAAAGAUACAUAUGUUGAUUUUAUGUUUAGCGAUGUGUGAUACACGAUUAAGUAUAUAAUUUACCAUCACAUUUUGUCGUACGUUGAUGUUUACGUUUACCCAUUUUGAUUGAUCCAAUGUAUAUGCUAUGAGUUUUUCAUGUUCCCCGCAUCCUCGGCUCGUUCAUUUCACAAAUAUAGGUUAGGUGCAUGAAACAGAUUUNNNNNNNNNNNNNNNNNNNNNNNNNNNNNNNACAGAUUUUAAUAUUAAUCGAUACAAUCCUUUCCAUAUAACUCAUUUUUAAAAAAUUUAGCUUCAAAGAAAAUGAUGUCCAAAAGAUUAUAAGCUCGAAUGCAUGACAUGUACCAUAAUUAGUUAUGUGAUACUAAUCAAUUAUCCGCGGCAGAAGUGUUAUUAAUUAAAAUAAAGAUCGAUUUAGUCUUCGGUUUUAGACAUUUUGGUGGUCGAAUACAAACUCUUGAUGAGUAACACAAAAUCCAAAUCCAAAAUCUAAAAUCCAAAAUUGAAAACCCAGUACUCUAGACGCUAAACUUUAAAAUCCAAAAUAAAAAAUCGAAACCAACCACUAAACCCAAACUCAAACCGAAACAAAUAAUAAAUUAAAUAAUUUUGUUGAAAAGACUUCCGUGUCCUUCUUAUGCAGACGUUAGAUCUGUCAAAGUGCAAAACCCAUAAAAUUUAACGGUCUAGAAUCAUCCUGGAAUGUUUUUCCGCCUGGAUUUUAAACCUGGCUCAAAAAGCUCGAUAGAACGAAUCGGGUAGAGCAACCGUAUAGAAUGUUUAUAUUGUUUGAUGUGCGUUAAUGAGAGUAAUGUUUUAAUCUCCCCGUGGCGAGCCCUGAGUGACUUGGGGGUGUCGAGACUAAUCAGGGUCGUUUGAGCGUCCAACUGUAAUCGAGGGAGAAAUCCUAGCGGGAAGGAAACCUUUCGACAGUUCGGCGCCUCGAGUGGCCAAGCUGUUGCUCCGAGGCUGAUAUAACUGAGAUUUUAUAAGUUAAUUAAAUUAAAAACAUGUUUUAAUUUAAUUAAACAAAUACCAUGAAAUAGUGAAGCAGAAAAAUCAAAACAGAAACAAAACACCACAAAAUGUGAGUACAAACUGGAAAAAGAAACACAUUACGGAGGUCGAUCGGUGAAGACGGUAGGGUAGUGAGCAUUUAAAUUGUUUCUCCUUCACUUUGUUUUAUUCCGAUGAUUUGAGUAAACAUCAAAGCUGUCCGAAACCGAUAGGAGAUACGAAUCUAGAGUCGUUCCCGAAAAACGCAUUGGCCGAUAAUUUGGUGACGAACUCCGUCGGGUGGAAGCCAUCCCAAAACAAAUGCUCGUCUCGAUUCUGACAAAGUGUAGAUGUUUGGUUGCACACCCCGCUUCCUUCUCCGCAACACGGGACUUCCACCUCCUUCAAACCUGCACAUCGGUUGUUCCAAGUAUGGAUAGUUGAUAUUCAUUAUUUGUUUUAGUAUAUAGUUGAGUCAUUAUUAACUAUAUUUUUACCAAAAUCGGCACCGUGGCUGAUGAAAUCCAUAGUGAUGUUGAAGGCGUUACCGAGGGAGAACUUAACGUCGGGAGCUAACUCCGCAAGCUUCUUAGAUGCCAGAGUGAAGCCGUCGAAGAAAGCUUGAGCCAGCAAAUUCGCUCCAUCGAAGCAGCCGCUGGUUUCAUUGAACGAUCGCGCAAAUGGGCAGCACCCAAGUGCCGGAAUCAUCACUAUGGCGAACUUCUUUGCUCCUUUUAUAUACAAUUCCUGCCCAAUGUAACGUAUUUCGGUAUCAUUCAUUCCGAAAUCAUUUUCUAACCACUCAAAUUAUAUUGAGAUUAAUUGGUCAAUAGUAUUAAAUAUUUUAUUUUAUUAUAGAUCCCACUUUACCAAAAAUCUAGCUAACCUGAAGAUGGCCUCCGUAUUCCGUAAUCAAAGAGGUGACCAACUCCUCGCCGGAGACGUUGAAAUUGGGAGCAGCGGGGAAGGAAGAGAUAUUCCGUAGGUAAUCGAAGAUGUCGUUGCUUCCAACGCUGAUGAGAAACACGGACUCCGCGAUCAGCUUGGCGGCUGCUGUCGGCCCUAACAAUGCUGACAGGUUUGCGGCUACCGUCGUAAAUUGUUCUAUCUGGGUUUUCAAAGGAACCACCUGCAAAACAUUUUGAUCCACCGAGAUUUGAGUUAUAGUACCAACAAUUUUUUGUAUCAGAUAUAUCGAACUGGUAAGGCUAAUUCAAUACUUACUCCGAUGGUAGAGCCGGUCGAGUCGAAAAUUCCACAGCCGGCCGAGGCGAAGUUGACGCCCUUCGUUAUGGUUUCGUUGAAUUUUUUACUGCAGGCCCCGCCGGCGACGAGAGAGAGGAACGGCGGCGGACUUCCGGUGAACCCCAUUUUCUUUCCUGUCGCGGGAAAAAAUGAAAUAGAAUAACGGUUAGUUCUACAUAGUCAAUGUGAGCUGUGAUCGAGCCCACGGGCCCAACAUGGUCUAUGGUAGUAAGCCCUCAAGCUCAAGAAGGAAGCUGCUGUUGAUUAGAGCGGGUCACGAAUCGCGCUGGGCCCAAUUUAGGUUCGUUAAUGUUUAGCGAAUUUGAGCAAGACAAUUUUGGUUUGUGUCGAGUUUGAGCUGACUCGUUAAAUAUCAUUGACGGGUCAAACUCGAGGUCAGCUCGAACUUCGUUCAUAAAAAUCUCUAAUGAAAAUCUAAUUUAAGCAAAAUUUAUAUGGAUAAGUCAAGUUAAAAAGGUGCUAUGAUGGUUACCAAUUUGGUCAGCAAGAUUGAAGCCAUUGCUGAACCUUCCAAUGGGCAAAGAAGAAGAAGAAUCAAUGCCAUAAAACGGGAAGCUAGCGGUCGCCGUGCUGGCCGGCAAGUAAUCAUUGGUCCCGACAUCGACUAUCGAGUCCCCAAAUACGUACACCGCCGGGAAAGUACAAGCUGACGGCGAUGAGCAUGAAACACAGAUGUGGUUGUUAUCAAUAUUGAGAACCAAGAAGCAAACAAGUAGUAUUGCCGACAAAACCCUGAAUUUCGUCGCCAUUAAUUUUUCAAUUCCUUUGUGUUUGGUUUGGGGGUUCUCGAUCCUGGGCGGCUCCUAUUUAUAAACGAGACACGUGUCUUUGAAUUCUAUGUCGAAUAUCUAUUUGCGGCUGAUUAAUUUACAAUUUACAUGUUUGUUUUUCUUUUCUCGUCCGGUUAUAAUUUAAUGUUACUUCAGAGGCGAGUUUUACGAUUGGAAGAACAUUUAGGUGUAGACGUCCAAGCCCUAGGUCGUCGGCGGAUCUUGUUAGAUUUUGUACUUUGGUGUUCUGUUUCUUCCUGCGGAAUGGACUAAUGAAGUUUUGUCAUUUUGAUUUCACUUUUUUUAUAUAGAGUUUUAUCGUAAAACCUUCAAUGAUAGAUUGUAAUCAUUAGUAAAAAAUAAAAUAGAAUAGCGCAACAUUUAAAUAAACAGUACGGAAAUAAUCAACAUUCGCAAAGAGAAGGUUAAACGCAGGAUGGAAACCAAAGGGAAGAGAGUGCUCAUAGUGGGCAAGGACAUUCACGACGUGCGCGGUUGCUUUCACGAAAAAGUGUGUGUGAUAUGCACAACUCAAUUUCUCUUCAGGAGUUGCUGCGUCUCCAUAAUGUAAGAGAGAUGUCGAAAAUCAUCAGAAGGGUGAUCUCCCAGAACACUUGAAAUUGUACAUUGAGAAUCCAGUUGCAAGGUCACCUUUCAAAAGCCCCGAUCCCAAGCAAGUACAGUAGGGUUUACAAGGAGAGAGUGAGUGAACUUCGCAAGUAUAGACCUUAGAGAGUGGUUUACAAAUGAUUAUUUUCUGAGUUGCGCGAUAAUUAGUGGUUUGGGAGAGCGGCUUAGCUUGUCACCUAAAAUUUAUUACGAUCUACUGGUCUAGUUGGUUCGCAAGUUUGAGUCAACUCGAAUCGAGCUAUGAAGACGAAUCAAAAUUACCUCAAGUUCAACUCAUUUAAUUUACUAUUAAAUCAAACCUUUUCGAACUUUAUAAUAGUUUUCGAAACCAAAUACGGGACGGCGGACGAAUAGCUUGUAAAUACAAAGAGUUAGCCGGUGAGAAUAAAUGCUGCUAAAUGCUGUAUAUUAACCAACGGGCAAAACAAAAGCAUACGUGGGGAAUCGAUAAGAAUUAAGAUGAAUAAGAGUACAAGAUGAUCAUUUGAUCAUGCACUUCGAUGUAAUAUGUCGGAUGACUUCUGGGGACUAUACAUUACUUUAAAUAAUGACACACACUUCUUACCAAUAAUAAUAAUAAUAAUAAUAAUGACACACACUAACUACACUUUAUAUUAUUAUUGUAUUCUUCCGAACAACAUUGGUGUAUUUUAGGACAUUUUGGAUAGUCAUGUUUGGAAUUUUUGGGUAUAUUUUUCGUGUGGAUUUACAGUAUAUGAUUUUUUUACGAUAAUUCGAUAAAUAUCCACAUCACAUGCAGACGGUAUCAUAAAUACAUAGCUACCCCUUUACAUAAGUCAGUCAGUGAUAAAACGAUCAGCAUUGUCACAUUUAUUUUUAGUUAUAAAAUAUUCUUGUUAAUGUACGAUAAAUGUUGGUGAUAAAACGGUGUUAUAUCCACCACCGACGAUUUUUGCCGUCCUUUUCUCUUCCAAUUUUUAUUAAGAAUCGUUUGGUCCCAAUAAUACUUGAGUUUAAUAUAGAUUUUUAAAAUACAUAGAUACAUAGCACAUGAUUCAUAUUCAUUAUUCAUCAGCUGAUCAAGCAACCAACUGCAAAAACUAACCAUCUAGAUAGUACUUUAGAUGUUUUAUUUUCCAUUGGAAGACCACCCUCGAAUUUCAACAGCUCAACUUGUUAACCAGCUGUUUCAAACUCACACCCUCGCCAACAUCCUUCCUAACCUGUUCCUUAAUCUCCCCAGCAACCUUCCUCAGCUUCACAUCCUCCAUCAACACCUUAAUCCUCUCCCCAAUCUCUUCCCCCUUCACCAAGAAAUCUCCCAUCCAACCCCAUUCCCCACCCAUAAACCCUAGCCCACACCUCUCCACCACCUCCCCAUUGACCAUCUGAUCUCCACCAGGCGGCCACCCCAUCAUAGGAACACCAAACCACGCAGAUUCCACCACAGAGUUCCACCCGCAAUGGCUCAAAAACCCUCCCACCGAUUCGUGCCCAAUCACUUCGGCUUGAUCCACCCACUCCUUCACCACCACCCCUCUCUUCCCAACCUCCUCCGUCAUCUCCUCUCCCAAAACAUCUUCCAACGCCUCUUUGUCGUUUUGGUCCACCACUUUGUCCUUCACCACCCAGACGAAAUGAACCCCUGACCGGAUCAGCCCUUUUCCCAACUCCUUGAUCUGGUCUCUUGGCAGAGUCGUCCUGCUCCCGAAGCUCACGUACACAACGGAUUUCGCUGGCUUCCCUUCUAACCACUUCAACGCCAUUUCUGUUCCUGUUGUUGGAAUAAAAAUCACUAGUUUACCAAUUGUGUUUAUUGUGUCAUGGCCUCAUGGGUACUAAAAUGUUAUGAUAUAAAGUGUAGAAUAUCCUAAAAUUCAUCAAUAAUUAAACGAGGGGCUAAACUGUAAAUGACAAAAUAGCUACCACCAUUGGUUAUAGACAGGGUUAUGGUCCCCAAGAAUCGGAUACCAACUCAUUUUUUCAUAUCCAAUUAAAGAAAUUUUAAGAAAGAGAGAAAACUACAUUCUUCAUCAAAGAUCUUUCUGUACUUCCUGCAUUUGUUCUUCCAUUAUAGCAUGAAAUUAAUGACUCUGCUACUAAGGCAUCGAUUUUAGGUCGAAACUGGACCAAUUUAUAAUACGUGCGUCCAAUUCUGUCGAAUAUGUUAUCUGAACACAAAACAUGACCGGGUUCAAUUUAGAAUAAUUGCAAAUUCCAACUUGAAUAUGAACAUAAUUGUUUAUUUAUCGAUAUUUUCAUGCAAAGGUUUAAGGGGCAAUAAAGACAAAACACCUGAGCCUCUUUCUAACUUGGUCUCGAACCCAUGGGGGAUCAGUCCGAUGUUGAACAGAGGAGGUAAACGGUCAUCUACUUCCCCUGUUCUGAUCGCUUUCAGAGCUUCAGAUUCCAGGCAGUCAAACGAGUUUAUCACCACUCCGUCGAAUUUGGAGAGGCACUCGCCGCUGGAUUUGAACAAGCUGGAGAACAGAGUCUCCGGGUUCAGAAGCACCGGCGGGACCGACGAUCUCGGCACGUCUCCAAUUCCGGGGACUUCGAAUUUCCCGGCGGAUUCGAGUUGGGUUUUGGAUAAACUAGGGUAAUGGGAGAGAAAAGAGAACAUUCUGGCCGAGGACACGUAGAGGAUGUAGUUAGGGAUGUUGAGAGGUUGGGUGACGGAGAUGGUGGAGGAGAGUAAGGAUACGUCGGAGAACAGAGCAGCUGGCGGCGGGGAAAGGGAAGAGAGGAUGGAAGAUAAGUUUGGGAGGGAUCGGCGAAUGGCUUCCCACUGGAGGCAAAAGGGGUCGGUGGAGUUGGCGGUGGACGGGUCUAUCGGGAGGAUGUGGAAUUGCUGCUCGGAGACUUGUGGGUAAGCGGCGAGGAAUUUGGAGAUUAGUGAUGACUCUGCCUGAGAUACGAUUGGGUGGCUGGUGAUUAGGGUGACGUGGCAGUCUUGACUCAGUAAGUUUGCGGCUAGGCGGAGGAAUGGCAUGAGGUGGCCGGCGCCAGAGCUUGGGAGUAGGGCGACGUGGGGAGAGGGCCGGCGAUGGAGGGAAUCGGCGGUGGUUGUUGUUGACAUGGCGGCGGCUUUGAAUUGGAAUGGUAGUCGGAGGGGGGGAAGGUUGAGGUUUUGGUGAUCGAAUGAGCGACGUAGUUGGAUGCUUUUGUAGGAGUUUUGUCGGUAGCGGUGAAAACGAUUUUUUACUGCGGAACACCGUUAAAAAAAAUAUGUUAAUUGUUUCGGAAUUCAUAUAAGGAAGUUACAAAAUUUAUUGUUGCUCACUUAUAGGUUAUAUUUGGUCGCGUACAUCUUUGUUGUUGAUUGGUUGGCGUGAACUCUAAAAAUAUGUUUCAAUUUGACCCCUUAGACGAUAUGAUAUGAGCAAUAUUACCUCGUGGUAAAACAAUAUUACCAUGAACAACAUUCAAUUUGACACCUUUAUCUUGGUUGUUGGUUGCGGUUAGGAGAGUUUAAUAUUUCAUAAAUGCAAAUUUCAACUGUGAUGGAGUUGAAAGUGACUCCCUUUAACUGCAAUUUGCAGCAGAACUUGAUUUCAUUUUCAUAAUUAAUAUAUAUAGUAAUAAUUGUCUAAAUUGGAAUUUUGAUUUUAAAUCUUAUUUAUUUGUAUUAGCAUCAUUCUUCGUCUCCAAUUCAACAAACUUAUAUAUGGUGUAUAUAUAAGUUUGGAUCACUAUUAAUAAGACUACCCCACCAACCCAACCACUCCCAUUAAAUUAUUAUUGUGCCCUGUACACCCUGCAAUGGUCCACUGUGUUUAUGAGCAUUGCAUGGAAUGCGGAUCCAAGAUCAAACCAUACACCGAGCUAAAUAUUGAAAUUUAUAUAUCAAAAUAAUCCAUUUAUAAAUAUAUAUUUUUUAUUAUUUUUAGAGAAGCUAAUCAAGUGGCACACCGUUUGGCUCAUCUGCUGCCCAUUCAUUCGUGUUUUUGUGAUUGGACUGCUUUUUUUUCUUCCAUCGGCCAUUGUCAAUGUGGUAGCCUGCGAAACGAUUCACUCAUUAUUCUUAAUGUAAGUUGUUUUUCAUAAAAAAAAGUUGUCCUUAAAGAUUAAAUAUAUCAUCAAUAACUUUUUUUACUAACCAAACAGUGGGCAAGCUGAAAUUAGGAUUAGCAUAUAUUGAGUAGGUAUUUAGCCGAAACAACAAAAUAUUUAACCGAAUUUAAAAUUACCAUGAACCAUAUUCAAAAUAAUUAUAAAUAUAUAUUGAAAUUAGGAUUAGAGCCGAAAUUUAUCUAGAGCCGUGACUAUAUAGUCACCCCUAUAUCGGUCCCUGUAAUGCAAUCAAUGAAUAAGACAUUCUUCCCGUGAAUGUUGAAACAAGCAAGGACGGUAUAUAUAUUUCCUCUGGAACUUUUUCCAUUCACUUGUGACCAACUCAUCGGUUCCAGAAGAUAAUAUUUCAAGGACCAACUUUCCUGUCACAAAUAAUAGUUGUUGGCGACACUGAAAUCUGUCGUUGAUAAUGUAAUUUCCCGACGACCAAAAGAUUCAUCCCAGAAGGUUAGUAGUUUUAGUUCUAUGGCAAACGGAUGAUCAUAUUUCAGAUGUAUGAGGAUUUUAAUUAAUCGAACAUUCAGAGUUUUUAUCUUGGAUUUUUGACCUUACCUCCAACCCGUUAAGGUAAAACAACAUUUUUUUUUUAUAUUUUUCGAUAAAUCUGUCGUUUGUCCAUUUCGACAAAAAAUCCUCCAAUUUCAAAAUUUCAAUACUCUUUUUUCUUUUUUAAUUUAUGCUUCAUCAUCGUCAAUAUCUCCUUUUUCUUCUUUGAUGUAGUAGAUAAUCAAUCAAUGAUUCUUCAUUAUUAGUUAUCAGAGUUUGUGAUUCAUCAAACUUAAAGAGUAUUUGGUUGGUUUUCCAGUUAAUAAUAACUGAGGGUUAAAAACAUCAAUUCAAUCAAAUAUAAUAAUGGUAUUAAAUCAAAUUUAAUAACUUUUUACUGUAGCGGUUAUUAACAAUUAAACAAUAGAUAUACACUAACUGAAAUCGAUCCGAACUGUUGCCAAACCUACCCUUUGCCACGAAAAUGACCACAUCGAUAGGACACGAAGUCGGAGAAUUCAAAAUUUAAAUUGUGAAUCAGCCGCACAAAUACGGUGCGUUUUAGCUUUUAUUUCUUGUUGUUUAAGCCAGAAAAGAAAAAAGGGUAAGCAAGUCAAUAUUCUCUUUCACCGCUUUCUCAAACUCCCCGGAAAAACCUCUUCUAAACCUCCUUUCUAGAGUUCUCUCAUCAACACCGCCGGCGAUUGAGAUGGAGAUAGAUCCUCCGAUGCAAGCUUCCGAGCUCUCUCAGAUCAAAGACGAAGACCUCUUCAAAGCCGCCGAGACCGGCGAGUGUUCGGUCCUCAGCUCGCUCCCUCCGCCGCAGCUCACCAAAUCCCUCUCCCUCCGGAACGAUGACCGCCGCUCCCUCCUCCACGUCGCCUCUUCCUCCUCCUCCACGUCGCCUCUUCCUCCGGCCACCCCGAGGUACUCCGAUUCGUGAAUCGAUUUCCAAAUUUGUUAUGUUCGUUGCUAAUGCGAAACCAAAUUUGAUAAUUAUCAGGCGGUGAAGAUUCUGUUGGAGGUUGAAGGAUCUGAAAGCGUUGUGAACAGCACGGACGAGGAAGGUUGGGCGCCGCUGCACUCCGCCUCUAGCAUUGGAAGUGUUCCGAUCGUCGAGAUUUUGUUGAGCAAAGGUAAAGAAGAGGAACAUGUAGUGUUAGUUGGAAGUGCCCGUAGUUUGAAUUGAUUUGAUGACUGGGAGGAUUUUGAAUAGGGGCGGAUGUGAAUUUGAAGAACGAUGGAGGACGAACUGCGCUCCACUAUGCUGCGAGCAAGGGAUGGUUGAAGAUUGCUGAAGUGUUGAUUGCACAUGGUGCUAAAUUGAACGUGAAGGACAAGGCUUGUAAACUUUACUUGACUGUGAUUUGAAUGUGAAUAGCUCGUUUUGUGAAGCUACAUUGUCUUAAUACGGUUUCUCUAAUGCUGUAUUCAGGUAGGAUGCACACCAUUGCAUCGAGCAGCGAGUGUCGGGAAGGCGGAGUUGUGCGAAUUCUUAGUUGAGGAAGGAGCAGAGGUUGACGCUGUGGAUAGAGCUGGUCAAACACCUCUUAUGAAUGCUGUGAUAUGCGAUAAUAGAGAGGUGAGCUUUGGCCAAAAUGCUUUAGAUUUUUCUAUGUUUCUCAAAUGGUAGCCCUUUACUGUCAAUUGGAAGUUCUUUCUGAAUGCUUGCUGUAAACAGGUAGCUCUUCUUCUAAUAAGGCAUGGAGCAGAUGUGGAUGCGGAGGACAAAGAAGAAUACACUGUGCUUGGUCGAGCUUCGCGCGACUUUAGGGAUAUUCUCAUUGAUGCUGCAAAAGCCAUGCUUGAAGGGUGAAGCCUUCCCUGGUAACAUAACUUAGGUUUGGCUCUCCAAUCAGUUGAUUGGUUAUACUAUCCGAACACAUGCUUGUAUGGAUCCUGUAGCAGGGAACAUCUUUCAUCCUCGGUUUUAGUAGCUUCUCCAAGUUUUUUUCUAGCUACAUACAGUUUUGUUAACUCCUUUUAUCAGAAAGGUUGAUAGAAUCUUGAUAACCACAUUUGAAGCUCUAGAAUCUGAGGCAGUUUCCGAUGCCAGAAAGUAUGGAGGUAAUACCUAACUUGCCUCGGAUUCUUGAACUCACACACACCCAUGUGAGUUCAAGCCUGAGGGACUCCGCGAGCCAGUGAGAUGGCUCGAGUGGCUCGUUCGUCAGGUCUGUAGUAUAUGCUUGGUUUCGGCAUUAGGACAGCGUUACCGAUAAUAGACUUGAUAGUUCAACCACAAACACAAAAGAAAGAACGAAGAAUCUAUCGUCUCAGACUGGUAUAAGUAUCGGAAUAUGAAUCAAUCAUCACUACUCUCUUUGUUUCUUUACAGCUAAGGUUCUCAUGCUUAUUCAAUCUACGGGUACUAAUUACUAACUUGGUAGGUUAGUUUCCACACCUAACACAUUCAGUGUGCAUUUAUGAGCGUUGUACAUUGUUUUCAGUAAGAUGCCAAUGUCGAAUUAAAUGUCAUCCAUACCGGAUGAUAAUAAUUUACGGUUUAGCCCUCACUCGACUAGAGCUACCAUGAUCAUGUUUAUAUUUUAUACGUCGAACACAUUUAUGCCAUCCGAUUACUGCUUCAAAUCAUCCGAGAUUGCUACUAUGUGUAGUAAGUUUUCUACUAUAGUAAAUGUUGAAUUACCCGGGAAGUGAGAAACUAUAAUAGCGAUACUAAUCGAAACCUAAUGUCUGCAUUUGAUCAAUUCGAUCCAAUAUGAUGUCACCGAUCGAUUUCGACAAGAGUAAAUAUCGAAUUACGUGAGAGAUUACAAAAAAUUAUCGUGGUAUUGAAGUUUAGUGGAAAAUGGAAAUGGGUGAUGGAAGAAUUGUACUAUGAAUUGACGACAUGGUAUGAUCGUAGCCACAAGAUCCACCUAACCGAACUACCCAAGAAAAACAAAACCAUCUACAUAACCUACAAGUCCGAACUACUACGUAACACACUCUUCUAACUCGCACUUCAAACUCCCUCCCUCUGACCACCGUCAAACAAAAACCAAUGACAACCUCCGACGACCACCGCCCCCACGUAGCCCUUCUCCCAAGCUCCGGCGCCGGCCACCUCAUGCCAUUCCUCCGUCUAGCAGCAACCUUACUCGCCAAAAAUGUCCGAGUCACCUUAAUCACCAGCCACCCAAUCGUCACCGAUGCUGAGUCAUCUCUGAUUUCCCAUUUCCUCGCCGCCUUCCCACAAGUCUCGGAGCAGCAAUUCCACAUCCUCCCCAUAGACCCAUCCACCGCCAACUCCACCGACCCAUUCUUCCUCCAGUGGGAAUCCAUCCGCCGCUCCCUCCACCUCCUCUCCUCCAUCCUCUCUUCCCUGUCCCCGCCGCCGGCAGCCAUGGUCUCCGACAUAACCUUAAUCUCCUCCACCAUCUCCGUCUCCCAGGAGCUUCAAAUCCCCAACUACGUUCUCUUCACUUCCUCCGCCAGAAUGCUAUCUUUGGUAACCCGUUACCCUGCCUUCACCAAAACCCAGAUCGAAUCCGCCGACAAGUUCGAAAUCUCGGGAAUCGGAGACUUACCCAGAUCGUCGAUCCCGCCGUUGCUUCUAAAGCCGGAGUCUUUAUUCGCAACCAUGUUCAAAUCUAACAGCGAGAAUCUCCGCAAGUUCGACGGAAUCCUGAUCAACACGUUUGACAGGCUGGAAUCUAAAGCUCUGUCAGCGAUCAGGAAAGGGGAAGUUGCAGAUGGGUUGCCGCAUUUGUUCAAUGUCGGAUUGAUUCCUCACGAUUUCGAGAGGAAAUUAGGAGUCGGAGGAAGGAGGACGGGAGAGGUGAUGAAAUGGUUGGAUGGGAAGGAGGCGAAUUCGGUGGUGUAUGUGAGCUUUGGAAGCAGGACGGCUCUGUCGAGAGAUCAGAUUAAGGAGCUGGGGAAAGGGUUGGUUGAGUCAGGGUUUGGGUUUGUUUGGGUGAUGAAGGAUAAAGUGGUGGACAAGGAAGAUGGGGAGAGAUUGGAGGAUGUUUUGGGAGAGGAGAUGAUGAAGGAGGUUGGGGAAAGAGGGUUAGUGGUGAAGGAAUGGGUGGAUCAAGUUGAAGUGAUUGGGCAUGAUUCGGUUGGUGGGUUUGUGAGCCAUUGUGGGUGGAACUCUGUGGUGGAAGCUGCAUGGGCUGGGGUGCCUGUGCUAGCUUGGCCGCUUCAUGGAGAUCAGAGGAUCAAUGGGGAAGUGGUGGAAGGGUGUGGGUUGGGGUUUGUGGGUGGGGGGAAUUGGGGGUUGGGUUUGGUUAAGGGGGAGGAGAUUGGGGUUAGGAUUAAGGAGUUGAUGGGUGCUGAGAAGAAGGUGAGGGAAUUGGCUAAGGAGAUUAGGGUUGAGGUUAGGGGUGAUGUUGGGGUUGGUGGGAGGUGUGAUUUGGGUUUGGAUUUGUUGGUUGAGAAGUGGAGUACUUGAACAAGUGUUUUCCACUUAGGGGUUGUGGUCCAAUUGACAGGUUGGAUCUUUAAUAAUGUUACAUUUUUAGAUUAUGUUUGUUACUACACAAGGAAGUUUAAUUGAGUUGAUUAAAGAGCAUUUAGGAAUGUUAUGUUGCUUAAUGGUUACACCCACCAAACAAGCUUAAUGGAUCCAUUAUAGUGUACUUUUCUACUAGUGAUACCACGAUUACGAAGUCCUCAUUCCCACCAAAACGAGGUUCAAUCAAUUCAUAAUAACCACAUGAAAAUGGUACCAAUAUGGUUAACCAUGCCCAUUUAAAAUGAAUAAUCAUAUUUUCUUAGUCCCAAAAAUAAAAUACAAAUACUAUUAAGUGUUUAUACAUAAAGUGUUAAAACUCCAUCUUAAUAUAUUCGAAAUCUCUAACUACAAAACACAAUACGAUAUUUUAAUGGAGCAUGAAACACCAUCUCCCCCAUCUUCCCAGUUUAAUAUAUCUUGAGCCAGAUUCACAGUAGUUCCUCCCUAAAUUACCCAGCUCUGAGAGGCACUUAUUCAAUCAAGAACUCCACUUGUCAACCAACAAAUUCAAACCCACAUCACACUUCCCGCCAACUCCAACAGCACCCCUAACAUGAACCCUAAUCUCCUUAGCAACUACACUAUCUGCUUCAGAAGAUCACACAUGUGUUGCUGCAGAUGGCUUACAUAUAAAAGGAACUGCUGUAAGUAUUAUAUUUUACAUUCAGGGACUAUUAAUUACUCUAUUAGUUGAUAUGUUUUCCAAACUUCUUUUGCUCACAAAACAUACUUCCAUAUUUUCUAUGUUUGUUCAUCCAAAUUGCUGUUUUCUUCUUGUCCACAUUUCUGCUGUCAGUAUUAUUUUGUGAUUCAUUCAUCUAUCAUUCUAAACAUUAACACAGGUUGAAAGGUCACCAGAUGAUAUAGUUGAAAGCCUGGAUAUUCCAACAUCAGCAAAUGGGAAAGAUAGACAUGAAUGUUACCAAAACAAAACAUUAAUCGUGCCUAAGAAUUUUCUUUGUGUACCUGAUACCUUGGAUCCCAUGGAAGGUAAUAUUCUAUCUAGUUAUCAUUACGUUUCGAGUGAUUGACCUAACAACAAAACUGUUUCCCAACACAGAACUGGUCUGAUGUUUGUUAUACUACAGAGUACGCACCAAAUGCUCAGGGGCACAGUACAUGCUUUGACAAAGAACAAUCAUCAAUUGACACUUCCAUUUCAGAAAGAGUGGUUUCUGAAUCAAAUCAAGGAGAUGAAAUAACCACAGGGAUGUCACACGUAGGCAUUGACAAGGAAGAGCCAAUUGUAGCUGACACUUUCAUGUCUGAAGAAGCGCUUUCUGAACCAUAUAUGGAGGAUGAACUGGCUGCAGGAAGUUCAAGUGGAAGCUCUGCGAAGUUUGACUCUGAUUCAGCUGGUCAAGACACAGCAAAUUUAAUGACGACACUUCUGCUUCCACAAGCAAUUCCUCUUCUUAAGGAAUCCUCGGACAAGAAAAGGAAAUCCAAUGCCAUGGCGAAAAACUUUAUUCCUAGAACAAAACCUCAGGAGGAAAAUGAAGAAAUUUCUUAUGUUCAAUUGUCUAAAAUCCAGCAAACUGAGGCUGUUGUUGUAGACAGUUUUGAGGACAAACAAUGUGAGGAUUAUGUUCUAGGACAACCUGUGCUUCUCUCUGACAAUGCCAAAGAACAAUCCGGUGAUAGGGAAGAUGAAAGAAUUCCUCACACUUCUGACGGCCCUCUAGAUCUAGAAUUAAGGGAGGCAGAUAGGGAAAUCUCUGUACCGUCAUCCAAAUCCAUUGCUACAGGAGCAAGGACAACUGAAACCAAGAAGCAAGGCCUUUGUCCAGGUGACAGAAAGGUAUAUACGAGAAAAAAGACUGCUGCUAAAGCAGUAAAGCACAGUGAUCCCUUGUCAGAAAGCAUAAUAUGCAGAAACUAUGGAGAAGGUUGUGAUCCACGAUCUAUUCUCGAUUCUGAACCUUUGAAUGUCAGCCCCUCCAUUGGUGAUGCACAUCAAAAGGAUCUGUCCAAGGAUAGAAUCGGUACUGGAGGGCACCCCCAUUCUUUAGAAGUGGAGAAAAUCACCACGAGUUGCAGGCCUGAGUCAGAUGAUCUACCUAUUUGUGUGUCAACUGAAGGCGAAGGAACUUCAGACGUGCCUAUUUUGUGUGUUCCAGUUUCAGAAGAAAUCCAAUUUAAUUGCAAAGAUAGGUUGGUAGAGCACAGUGCCUUGGUGCAUAUCGAUGGUUCCUUAAUAUCACAGCAAAGAAAUGGGGAUGGAUACAUCAGGUGGUAUAGAAGUUCAAGAUAAUGCUGACCUGAAGCUCCAAAGCAAUUUUGAGCUUCACUUUAACUUAGAGGGCAUUGCUGAGAUUGUGGGCUGCUAUAUCCACCCGCUUCCUGUUUUGCAGCUAUGGUUGAGCUCACAAGAAAAUGAAAUCUACAUUUGUGCCCCAUGUGGCAUUCUGGCGGAUAAACACAGGACCUUGUUUCUUUAUAAGUUAGCCACUAAAGCCCUAACUGCCGGAUGCCCAUCCUUUGUUGGUCAUACGACGGUCAAUUGGCCAUCUCCAGUGCAUAUGUUUGGUAAAGUAAGAUCCCGUUUCCAUAUUUGAAUUGGAUCUUGUGUGCGAAUUUAUGUCAGGGUGCUUACCCUCGCGCUCCUCUUUCUAGGUUGCGCCGGAAAGGUCCAGUUUUCAACUAACCCCAGACGGGCAAUUAUUUGUUCUACAUGGCAGCACGAAAGUUCCUUGUUGCAGGUUGAAAUUUCUCUGGUUCACAUUUCAUAUUUCCCGGUAACAUAAACUAUGCUUCUCCACCUAACACUACGCUCAUUCUCAGAGAAGGGAGAACGGAUGGUUUAUGCUCUACAUGUGAAGCAGAUAGCUGUAGUACCAGCUCUGUGAAGAUUGUACGAGUAUAUUUCGGACAUGUAUCAGUCUUGUUGGAAUUGAGGGCAGAUGAAGAAAUCGAAUGCAUCCUUGUCUGUGAACCUAAUAAUCUAGUUGCUGCUGUUGAAAGCGGCAAACUGCAUUUGUGGACCAUGGAUUCUACGUGGAGGUGAGCUUUAUCUAACUGUCAAACGUUCGGUUCCCUUUCUGCGAAUGCUCUCCUGUAUAUCUCAUCGAGUACUGCACUACUGUUCUCAUCGUCUUAUCAAUUUCUCUGUCUGCAGCACUUCAAAGGAGGAGCACACUAUAUCAAACACGGGUUACUAUUCUCCUCGAAUUGUGGAGUUAAAGAGGAUUCCUAAACCUGAAUCUCUAGUUCUAGGCCACGAUGGCUUUGAGGAAUUUACACUAUGGUAUGUCCUUUAAUGCAUCUAGACAUGUUUAUAAUGAUUCUGUUCCUUGACAUGGUUCCUUGACAUUGUAUUUUGUGUAUGUUCUUUCAAUCUAUGUUGUAUCCUUACUCACCCAACUAUCAUGAUCAGUCUACUGUUCUGCAUUUUCUUAUAACCAUAGUAUGCCAGCAUAUGUACUCUUCUGAUAAACUCGGGAAAAUGCAAUGUUUACUAAAUUGUAAAGCAUCAAGUUUACAUUCCUGCACAUGAGUAGUUGGCGCUCCUCUCCGUCUCCCUUCAGAAUGCCAUUUUCAAACUGGUUCCGUUGCCGUUUCAGAAUGAGCUGAUAUGUAGUAUGCAGAUUCUAACUCUUUCCUGUAACUCUUUCAGGGACAUCUCCAGACGAACCUUUGUUUUGAGAUUCUCCUCUCCAGGAACUUCAAUCCAUGCGUUCAACCCUAUCAGCUGGUUCAGCUGGCAACCACAGCUCACUGCCCAGAGGACCGUACCAGCAGAAUGAUGGAAGCCACAAAAUCAUCAUUAACAGAUCGUCCGUUCCCUCACAAUGAAGGUGAAGAUAUCGCCAUCUGGCUUCUCGUCUCAACCAACAACGCAACCGACCGUCCAACAGAUGAUCCAGUGGUAUCCUGGAGGCUGGCUCUAAUGGCCCAAAAUACCAUGAUCCUCGGACCCACGUUGGAUCCAGGGUGAGUUAGAAUUUUCUAAGUUGGAACUUUGGAGACAAUUGUCAGUAAUUCUGAGACUUGGUGAAUCUCUUGCUUUUUUUACAGGGCAGUAGCUGUCGGCGCAAUAGUUGGCCGUGGAGUCAUUGCCACUGACGAUGGAGUUGUGAGCAUGUGGGACUUGUUGACAGGGAACAGACUCGGCAGUCUCCAUCAUUUCAAAGGUAAGCUUUUGGUCGGUUGAUUUCCAUCGAACUGAACUGUGGAGCGUGGACAGUGGAGCUGCACCUUUUGGUUCGAAUCGAAUUGCAAGAUUUGUGAUUUUGAUUUGGUUUGGAAAAAAACCCACGUUGACAGUGACUGGUGGUUUUGUAAUUUUGGUGAUAUAUCCCAGAUGGAAGGGUUUCGUGCAUUGCAACAGACGAUUCAUCAUCAAGCUCGAGUUGUUUUGCCGUUGGUAGCGAAACAGGUCAGUUAGUGGUCUAUCGACACUUGUAAAUUGGCCUCCAAGAGGCUGUAGUUUUCCCAUUAGGAGUAAUUUGUAUGUUUUAACAUCAACAUUUUUUAACUGCCAACACUGUAAAAAGGUGAGUUUUCCUAUCACAUUAUGAAGUAAAAAGCUUCAAGACAUAGAGAAAAAAGCUUUAACAAUUUGUAAUUUUUAAUCUCGUUGAAUCCCUUUGAAACCAUGAUUAUAAUAAAAAAAAUGUUUCGAUCAUGGUUCAAACUCACGACCACAAAGUUAAGAGUUUUGUGCUCGAGGAACUGCACCAAGCCUAGCUAACUCAGGAACGAAAACAUCUGCAUUCUUUCUCAUAAAAAAAACUUUGAAAUUGUUGGUGUACGAAAAUGGAUUAAAUAUAUUGCACUAAUAAACCAUAGUAAAUUGGUAUAAGAAAGUUGACUUAAUUAUUUUCAUUAUGGUUUUGCGGUGAUAAUCACCAAACAAUAGUGAUUUUAAGUGUGGCGGACUACCGCCACUUCCAACCUACCUGGAAAAUAUUUACAGUGUGUUGUUUAUUAAUGCAAUAUAUUUACUCCAUUCUCGUCCGCUGCACCCAAUAGUAAUUUUGUCUCCUGUCAUCGAUUAGCAUGCUGAAUUCAGUGACAUCCUCAAUCCCUCCGUUGGCAGCUCGAACUACCUCUUGGCAAUCGGAUUCAAUCUCCACUGUACCAAAAGAUCAAGAUCCCUGGAGCUAAGCCACUCAAUGGUAUUCAGUAAAGCCAUCGCUUCACUCUCUCUACCAUCUCGAUAGCCCUGGAAGCUCCGUUGUCUUGACACGAUGAGCGAGUCUGCCACGUCCCGGAUGACUGCACCACUGCCCAAUCGAGUCUUUCAAAUCACAUUUUGAUAACCAGUGAUCAGACCCCAUCUAAUACCGUGGGCCCAAAAAACAAGCCUUAGGCCCAGAGAAUUAUAACUGGCUGGGAAAUGAAUUAGCUGCUGCACUUUAGGGUUUUCAGAAGCAAAAGCACCCCCUAUAUAAACUCGCGUAGCUUCAGCUCCAAUAAUUGAGUCAUUCAUUCAUCUUCUUCGCCGUUGCAGUCUGAAAUGGUUCUUCCCACUGUUUUUAUUCGAUCUAGUUUUCCUGUGCUUUUUAUAGGAUCGUCUCUUCGAAUUCGAUCUGUUAGUCCUCUGUUUUCUAGUUAUUUUUCCAAUUGAUCGGCUCUAUAUCACGAGUCAACAGCAGGCGCCUUCCAAUGGCGACCCGACUGCCGCUUAGAGCCAAAAUUAAAAAUUUUAGUUUCCGGAAGAAGACCCUUGAAACCUAUAAUAUCCGUUUGUUUCAAGAUACAAUAGCCCGGUUACAUUUCUGCUCUGCAGAUGAGAUAUAUAAUUUUCUUCAAAUCUGGCUUUUCUUGAAAACAAAAAAGAUUUGUGUAUGGAGGUGGCAUUGAAGUCAGACACGGAUGUUUCGGGGUUGGUAAACAGUGCCCAAUUCAUCUUUUGCAUGGUGCCGAAAUGCAGGUGCUUCUUAUCACGAUUGGAGGGAGUUUUUCCUACUCUGUAACUUCCCUUCAAAUUCCAAGAAGCCAUAUCUCGCCUUACACUACUUCUUUUACCAUUUUUGUUCUUGCCUGAUUCUUUUUUUCCCUUGAAUUUAAUAUAAAUUUAAGCAGUAUUCUAUGUCAAUGAAGUACUAAACCCAGAUUCUUUCACCUGGCUAUGUUUGUUGGAUGGAAUUAUUGAUAGAAUUUGAUGGGAAGUGACCAUAUUGUAGGAGGAUUAAAUAUAAGGUUAAGAACCUUACGUUCUAUGAACUGAGCUUAGACAGACUAGAUUAUUGGAGUUAAAGUAUAUAUUUUUAAUGUUAUUGAUUCCCGUUGAUCCCUUAGGAUGGAAUGUUCAUGCUCAAACUGUCGGAAACCUGUAUGCCCACUGUGUGGCUAGAACCCGCGAUCAUGAGAUAAAGAGGGCUCGAGCCCACCACCACCCCAAAGUUAAAGAGUCUUGUACUCUACUGACUGAGAGACAACAUGGCUUGUUGGCACAACAUACCACCUUUCACGGGGUCGAACACCAGCUCUCUUAGUAUGGCAUUUACUUGUGCCAGGGUGAGAAUUUUGAGUUCGUGACUGCCUGACUGGAGGAAAGCUAAAGAAAACAGACGACAAAAAGAGAACGAAAGUGACGUGAAAUACAACUGCAUGUUUGAGAAGUAGACUUGCAGUCACACUUCUGCCGUGUGAAUCAUACGUUACAGAACAUAGAUACAAUGUUAGAGACAGCCAUGACAACAUAUCUUUCAAAAGAAAUCUAGUGGCACGUGGAAAUGCAGAGCUAAAACGUCACAGCAGGUGAAAACAGCUACAACAUAGACUUGGCAUCACUGAGAUCGAAAUAAAACCUCUUUAAUCCGAUACGAUUCUUGCAAAUGCCGAGACCAAAAUGGGAAAUCAAAAUAACACAGUAUAAUCACUCAACAACCUGUAACAAACAUUAUGCAGCAACUAACAAUAAAUAACAUGAUAAAGAUUAAUACUAUGGAAAAUCUCCGCAAGUAAAAACUCUCUCUGUGACCUUAAAAAAAGAUUAAUACUAAGUAAAGUCUUGCUCUACUUGGUGGCUCAUUUAGCAAUGGCGGAUGCUGGAGUGUCGGAGGAAGGGUUCAGUUCAUCCCAAGCUUCGAUCCAGGUAACCAUAGCAUCUGCAAGUUUUUCGAAGUAAGGAUCCACCUUCCCCAGCUUCUCCUUGACUUCCUUGGAGAGCUCGAUGUAGCAUUUCUGGACAGAGGUUGCUUCCUUGGAGAGCUUCACAGAUUGGAAGAAUGGGAUGAUCUCUUCCUGCCAGUAUAUCCCUUUAUACUCCUUUUUCAGGUUCACAAAUGGGUUGCUGGCCUUGCUAUGCCAUAUGUACGGCAGCCCUGUCUUGAUCCCCCAUCCCAUAUGGUCACAGAUCACCUGCAUCGAAUAGACGAAGAUGAAUUACCUCAUAGCAAAUAGGGCCGGGCCAAUCUGCAAUGUGGUGACUAUUAUCGAUAAGCAGUAAAGAUUGUUUCUUUCACCUUAACCAACCCUAAACCCAGUAGACUAUAUAGUCUAAUAGGGUCAAAUCUACGAUACGAUGACUAAUGUUGAUGAGCAGUAAAGACCGUUUCAUUUACCUUGACACACCAACCGGCCCACAUGUCAUCGUAUCGGCCGAUUGGCUGACCAUCUCCCAUUAGUCCAAAGUACAAUGCAGGUCCGACGAGUUCACGGUCGAACGCUAAGUUCAUGCCACACAUUGGGAACAGGGUUCCCUUGGGGAUCGUCAGGACAGCAUCAACAUACCUGCAUUGUCCAUAAAAUUAAAUCCCAUAACAUUAAAUCAUUAAAAUCUAGAAACCCCCGAAAACAAUUCAUCACCAAGGGCAUGAAAUACUGGCGAAACCUACCUGGUGUUCCUUUCCAGUGGCUUCACAAGCUGAGUAGGAGCAUCAUAAUCAGGGAUGUUAAGCCACAGACCAUGAGAGACUGCAGUGGUAACACCUUCACGGAGACUGAAAGGAUACCCGCGAACAAAGUCAGCACCUUCUCUGUACGGAUCGUAGAGGGUGUUGAAGAAGUGUGGAGUCGAUGGAGACAAAAGGUUUUUGAUGUGCUGCUCCAGUGCAUUGAUCUGCUGUCCCGAGGGAUCCGAGGCCACCUGCAAUCAAACAAAAUCACACAACAAGCCUCUCAAGAACAGAUUAAACCCUAUGAAAUCAAGCUGAGAGGGCCAUGAAUUGAAAGUUGAUACCAGGUCUGCUUCUUAUAUAUCAACAAGGACUUGCCAUUUUGAACUUGUUCAAGCCCAUGAACCACAUUCAAGCUCUCCAAUUCGCUAUCACUAAUCUCUUUCGGGGAAAGCCAAUCACUCUCCAAGAUUAUAAGUAUUAAGGAAUACAAUAUAAACCAAUUUUGAACUUGUUCUAAACAACUCGAGUUAUUAGAGCCUUUGAGUGAAAGUUUGAAUCAUACUAGUGCCAACAUAACCAAUUCAGGUGCACGAUGAUACAUAGACCAAAUCGAGUUAUUAAGAUGCAAUGGUUCUCUAUGCUGAUCAAUCAUCUUAACCAGUCAUCUAAUCACAGAGAGUUCAGAUCGAGAACUAGCUAUCGAAAUUAGACAGUUGACAGUAAUCAUUAACAAGCAAGCAACCAAGUCAAACGCAAGUCAAAACACACAAUCAAUUCAACCAUAAUGUUUUUCAAAUUUUCAAUCAAGAGUGAAUAACUUACGAAGCAAUCGUCAUCAAUGGUGUAGAUGUACUUCUUCUUGGACACCAUGAACCCGAAGCACCUGCAAGCGGAAUCCUUGAAGGAAAUGCAAGAAGCCUUCGGACCCAGAAUCCUGUUGAUGUCGUUCCUGUUGUAGAGUUCAUAGUCAAAUCCUUCGGGGACUUUGAUGACCUUGGACGGAUCCCCAUCUUGGACGAUGAUGAGAUGGUAAGGCUGGAAGAAGGGCCUCCAUUUCUCCAAGAAGUCCAGGUUCCGGAUCGUCGGGAUCACGAUAUCAAGCUCGUCUUGAACUGGAAUACAAAAAUCAAGUAUAUAACCAUAAUCCUAAACCGAGUACAACAAACUUAAUACUAAAAAUUAAGUACAAAUUAAACGAUUGAGUACAUAACCCACAACAACAAUUAAAUAAAGUACAUAAGCUUAACAAAAAAAAUUAAACCGAAUAUAAAACCUUAACAAACUGAAUGCACUAACAAAAUCAAAACAAAAAGAACUUAGAGAAAUGAAGAGGCAAUUAAAAAUAUGAGAGUGACAAUUAAGAAUUGACUCCACGAAAAAAGGAUGAGAGUGAGGAUGAGAAGAAGAGAGUGAGGAUGAAUGGACUUCCAAAAGAAAGAAGAAAUAGAGAAGAAGAAGAAGAAGAAGAGAAAAAGAAGUAAGAAAAUGAAAUAAAAAGCCAUGUGAGCGGUUAGAUUGAAUAAUUAAAUGGACAGUUGAGAUUUUUCCUUGCUGCGGCAAGGAUUUCUAUCUUAUUUGUUGUUGACCCGUAAUCGUCAUGGAUCUCUGCUUUGUUUUUUUCUCCAGUUUGAUGAAUGUUGGAUUGUUGGGCUUAUUAGAUAAAAUAUCAGAUGCUUAUAUGGGCUAUUAGGCUGGGCCUAUAACAUUUAUUCACUCCUCCCUCCUGGGGUUUUAGGCGAUUGUUAACCCAUUAUCAUUUUUUUAAUCCAAGAUAUAUACACAAGAGAGUAUUAAUGAACAAUAACUGUAAAUCUGACGGGCCUAUGUCGAGAUCGAGAUAAUUAAGAAUCUAACGUGUUAUAAGGUUGGUGGUGAUGCUAUUUUGGCGUUAAAUUUCCUCUAAUAAUGAUUAUAUGUACCCUUAAAGUAAAUUGGGUUCAAAUUAUGUAUAUAAAGCCGGUGCCCCGAAAGCUUGCCCGCCCCAACCCGAUUUGAUCGGAUUAUUGACCCGGGUUUACCUGCCACCCUGAUCUAUUGGGUUUGGGCAGGGUUUCGGAAGGUCCAAAUCCGCCUCGGCAACCCGAAGGGGGUAAUUGUUAGGAUUUUUCCGCGAUUUCCUAGUCCCCUACUCCCCCUAAUCAAUCUUCCCCCGCACCGCAACGCCAUCAUGACUACAAUAGUAGGUAGAAUUUUAGGGAAGAAGGAAACCCAGAUUUGAAAUGGUUCAAUUAAAGGACAAGCCUGAGAUGCCUUAGUUAACUAGCAUUGGUGGUAGCUGCUAAAGAGGUACAUUCUGUUCAUGAGUUUUUCUUAAACUUAUCAUUCAUAAUUAAUGUUGUUAUGGCUUCUUGCAGGCAUUAUGAUGAGUUUAGAGAUCGCAAGUAAGCUGGUAUUGGAUGAACUUGAAUCUGAUACAGAUUCUAACCAUAUCAAUAUUCUACCACGAGCUUGUAAUAUUCGCCAGAGUUCACAUUUAAAUUUAAUAUCUAUCCUUAUCCGCUUAUAUAAUUCAACUUACAGUGUGCUAGAGAACAUAAAAGGGAUGUUGUAACUAACUUUAGCCAUGUUGCCUAUAUGCAUGGUUUCAUAAACACACUAAGUUUAUGUUAUAAAUUGAAAAGAAAUGAAUUAUAAAGUAAAAGGACGGAGAUGCAAAACCAGAGAGGUAUUUGUUGUGGUGAAGUGGAGGCCAAGCAAAGAAGCUUUCUUCCCCAAUCCAUCCCCUACUACUCUUUUAAUUCUCAGCUCUAAAGCACCCACUUCCUAACCCAGCCAAUCUCUCUUUCUUUCCAAACCGUAGCUGUCAACACCAUCUUCCCAAUCACUCCGCAAAGUUGUUUACCAGUUCUCUGGUCUAAUUUUAGCUCUAAUUUCCAGCGGGGGUUACGUACUGGCAAGAUCACUACAUUGUCACCCACAAAUUAAAUGGGAUCGAACGAAGGUGUGAUGAAGCGGUCGGAAGUUGACACUCGGGCGCCGUUCCGAUCUGUUAAAGAGGCGGUCACGUUGUUCGGAGAGAAAGUUUUGGCCGGCGAGCUUUACCCCAACAACAUGCUUAAACAGGUGGUGUUUCACUUUGUAGAUUGAUUAACGAGUCUGGACACAGGGAUAUUGCUUCUCGAAUUCAAUUUAAGAUCAAUCUGGAUCCUCGGAUUUCUAUAUGAUUUGAGGGUUAAGAUUAAUCAGGGGUAAUAUAGUUAUGUUGUUUUAAAUAAUUUUGUUGGACUAGAACCCAACCAUCUCCUGUCACCGGAAAGUUUUCAAUUAAUUUCUCGGGGAUGUGGACAGCGUUGGUGAAAUUUUUUGCACCCACGUGAUCACCUUCGUUGACUCUAUGUUUCUUGAAAACUUCUAUUUUUCUGGAAACAUUCUCCGAUGACGGACCGUACAACUUUAUAUGUAGAGUUGUAUGAAUCAUGCAAAUAUAUAUAGGUUUGUACAAACCCGUACAUAAAUGUAUAUACAUUUAUAUGAAUUUUUUACAAAGUGUAAUACUAUGAUAGUUAAUAAACACAUUUCUAAUGACUGAAAUUUCAAUUUUACCCUUAAACACAUUUCUAAUGACUGAAAUGUCAAUUUUACCCUCGUGAUUUCAGCCGUUAAAUCUAAUGCACGAUUUGUAAGACGGCUUAGAUUUAUGCGGGUUUAAUGGAUCCGAUCAAGAAGUCAUUUUAUUGACUUCAGAUUUGGACUGUUGAUAAACUGACGUCCAGUAUAAGGGAAAGUGCAAUAUAGCCACUGAAUUAGUUUUUCUAAUCAAGACCAUGCAGCAGGUUGGUCGUAAUGGAAAGCUAGACACAAUGACAUGUCAGCUGGAAGAAACAAAACAGAGCCUGGAAAAGGCAAAGGAGGAAAGCACACAAAUGGCGAGCUGCCUCUCCCAUCUUAAACAAGAGCUUGAACAAACAAAGCAAGAGCUCCAAAGACUCAAACAGGUGAAGGAAGUCCAGAUGAAGCAAUCGACCAUCUCGAUUGACCCGCAAUCCGACAUCCACCAUGGCCAACAAGACGUGAAACUAGUGACGGUACCAGAUGAAGAUGUGGAGUUUCAGAAGAAGAGGUACGUGACAUUUGCUAAUAAUGAAGGAGUAUUUGAUAAUGAUCGGAGGCUGGAGAGACAUCCUUCUUUGAGAAAGAAGAAGAAGAAGCCGUUGAUUCCUUUGAUUAUUGGAGGACUCUUCUCCUCUUCUAAGAGAAAGGGACACCAUCACCACCACCAUGAAAUUGCUUAAAGUUUGCUGUAGGUGCAUAGUCUGAAUAAUCUUUCUCGUGUGAGACGAUGACUUCUGUUGUACUUUUUUGGCCCCCAAUAUUCCAGUUCAAGAACUUGUACACUUACCAACUUAAACAUGUGUGCAUAGGUAAAACAAAAGAUAACAAUGCAUGAAAAAAGGAAAGAGGCUAGGAGCUAAUUAACACAAUAGUGAAAAUCUCUAAGUAUAAUUAUCUUCCCGAUAGACGGCUGAAGCAAUCAAACACCAGAAUAUUGCGUGAUUUCCAAGUCAUGUAACCAGUUACCGAAGAUCACAUACGAUCGAUACCAGUUACAGACGAUUAUAACAUGUUAUAUGCGAUUAUAAUCAGUUAUAUAUGAUUAUAUAUUACAUAUGAUUAUAACUCAUUACAUAUGAUUAUAACAUGUUACUCAUUUAACAAGUUAUAGACGAUUAUAAUUAGUAACUUGUUAUAUAAAUGAUCAUAACAUGUUACCCACUUGUUGUCAACCCCAGAUUUCCCGUCCCCGGCCCCGAAGGAAAAAUGGGGAUAGAUUUGAUACCGUCCCGUCCCCGUCGGAGACCUGGAUUUCUAGAUUUUACCCGUUUGGUAGAACAAAAAAAAGCAUGAAAACCAAAACAUAAAAACAUGAGUAUGAGCAACAAAGUAUCAUAAUAUCAAGUCUGUUCCAUGAAAAUUGGAAAUCAAACAUCAAGUCUAUUCAAACCCAGAAUUACUCGAAAAUAGUAAAAACGAAGGCCGCACAUCAAUGCUUCAACUGUUUUAUGAUGUAGUCGGCUGCGAUGAGGAUCAAGUAAUCGACUCCCCUAAACUGAAAGCUGAUUCUAAAACCACAUAUGUGAUUGGCACAACAAAGAAAUCCAACUAUUGUCGACAUAAUGAUCAGUAACAACCAUAUAUCCCUUUUUUGGCAAUUAUCCGACUACUUUUUUGACAAAAAUUUAUAACUAAUUAUAUUUUGUUAAUAACUAAUCAUAAUUAUAACCAAUUAUAUUUCAUAAUAACUAGUUAUAAUUACCCUUUAAAUAACUUGGUUAUAAUAAUAACUAGUUAUCAAAAUAUAUAACCAAUUGUAUAAAAUUUAAUUAAUUAUAAAUUAUAACUGGCGUUAAUAAAUGCUUAUAACUCGUUAUAUUUAACAUCUAACCGAUUAUUAAAAAAUACUUAUAUAAAUAAUUAUGAAUAAUUCCUUUUUCAGCUCCUAACCUUUUUAUGGCUUUAUGCGGUUUCGUUUUUUUCAAAUUUAGUCCUUCACUUUUGAAUUUUUGCAAAACAGCCCAUUGUCCUUAAUUGUAAAAAGUUCAAAAGUUACUGACCACGGAAGUAAAGUUCAAAAGUCUCAAACAAUAUGCAGAUUGGUCACUUAAAUUCUGAAAAGUGCUGGAUGGUCACUCUCCCUACCAAAUCUGAACAUCAUCGCCGACGAGUCUCACCGUGGCAUCUUCAUCUCCUCCUCCCCGAUGACGACGACUUGACCUCUGCUCACACCGUCCCAGAUUCAACCAGAUAUGGAGGCGUCGCAAUUUUCAACCGGAUCUUCAUCGGAUCUCAACCUCCUCUGCCGAAGUUCGUCGACUUAAUUGGCACUGGCAUUAGUAUUUCAGGUGCAUCCGUAUCGGUCAACUCUAUUUGACCGGGUAAUUUCAGCUUGUGAUGGGUGGGUUUCGGGUGGGUACCUAAGUACUGGGUUGGGUUUUCCAUCCUUAUUAAAUAGAAAAAUCAUACAUACAAUCAAUUAAUGGCAUCUCAUGCCCAAUAUAAACAAUAUAUAUAAUUUAUUUUCAUGCAUAUAAUUGUCUUCUUUAUAGACAUAUAUAAACUCGAUUCCUCACACCUAUAUAUCAAGUAUUCAUAAAUUUGGUCUCAACGACAGAGAGUUGGUAAACCCAUGCCGUCCUCUCACCAUAUUAAGCUCACUCCGUAUCAAACACACACUCAUGUGUUCAUACUUCAUACAAUAUGUGAGUCUUAAACACUUCUUCAUAUCCGAAAGAUUGUGUGACAUGUAAAAAUUUAGAGGAAAGUUUCGAUCUUCUUUUUUAUUGAGCGUGGCUCGAAAAUAAGAAAAUUCUUAAAAAAUAAGGAUAGAGAAGAUAAUGCAUACUCCAAUACAGAACAAUAAACCCUAAAGAAAAGUUGUGAUUUUAUUUACGAUAGAGCAUUUCUCGAACUUUCCAAUCACAUCAUACACGGUCCAGUAUAGAAUAUACGAAUCACUAAUAAGAACAUCAUAGACAUUACAGACAACUAAACUGCCAUCGACUGAAUGACUAAUUACCUUCUUAAUAGAUACGAUUGAAGCUUUGUUUACGUCAAUUUUUGGGUUUUCAUGAACUCAGGUCCAAGUCUGAGGAACUCAGUGGUCUCGCCGACAAAUGGGAAUCCAAGGGUUCCAGGAGGCAAUCCUUUCUUCUUGUACCUGAUGUCAUUCCAUUUGAAGACAAUGAAAAUGCAGGAGAUGAAUGCCAGGAUCAGAUCAUAGGCUAACCCAAACAAAGCCAUUGUUGAAUCUUGUUUGCUAGUUUGUUCUCCUGUUUCUUUUGAUAUUGUGAUGAAUUUAUAUGCCAUCAGGAUAAUCCUAUUCACUAAGUUGCCUUGUUAUAAAUUUGUAGUAAAUGGAAACCAAAUUAAUCAUAUUUUCUUUUACAUUAAUUGGAAAUCUGAAUUUGUUCCACUUCAUAGUGGUCAUACUUAUUAAAUAGUUAAAUCUUAUCAGGAAGAGUACCAAACUUUUCCGAUUCUGUUUCCUGCAAACUCUAAUCCUUUGAACAGAACAGAAUGUUCAAAGGAUUUGCAGUAAUGUUAGGAUAAAAAGUUGCAGCCUUUUGUGGGAAGCUUUGUCUGAAAUUUACCCUUUGCUAUUAUCCAUGAACCAUUUUAUAUCAAAGAAAAUUACCAACGUCUCGGUUCAAUGACUACGAGUUCAAUCUAUUUUUCACUUGUACCGGAUCGAGACUUCAGUAUUCAUAAAUGUACGGUUAGCAACAGUUCAGGUACACAGUUGAAUCGAUUUUUCCAUUUAGGCGGUUUUAAAUGGUAUCAUGGAUACCGGAAUCCAACUUACACUCAUAUCUGCCGAUUUUCGGUUAUAACCGCAGGCUUAAUUUUGAUUUUGAUCAAGACUUCAUCAUUCUCAGACCAACUAACUAGGCUUUUUCUUUCUAACGCAGUAACACUGCUGUAAUAAUCCUGAACUAACAUGAGAGGAUUUCUCUGUACACAUUGCAUUCCGUAUCAGGUCAAUGGACACAACAAUACUUUUGCAAAGACAUGGAACUCCAUCCAUAGCUUUCCUAUAGUCGGGAGCUUAGUUCAAUCUCUUUGGAUGCUGCAGUUCGAUUGUUACUGCUAUCUUGAGAGCAUAUGUAAGAAAGUGAUUGCAUCCAAGAGACCAGUGAAGGCUUGCGAAUCACGUCAUCAGAUUCAGCGACAUGUUCAUAUAGCUCGUCAAGGAUCGUGUUUUGGCCAUCUUUAGGUAGCUGGAUGAUCAGCUGCGCCAGUUGCUUCAUCAGGUAAGGUAGCACCUGGAAAUGGAAUGGUAGAAUCAUGAAUGUACGGUAUCAGCAAGUUCAAAUUUACUUUAUUUUUGUUUUUUCUGUAGCUAGUGUGACAGUUCUGUGAUGCUUACUUGAAUAUCGACGAGGGAAACGAAUCGAAGAAGCAUAUCGAAAACCUUCUUGCAAGGCUCCAACUCUCCUUGCCAGUUCUUCCAGGAAUCAGCAUUUUCCAUGGAGACGUUCGAACAGAGGUUCUGUGCCUUUUCGACGAUGCUGUGGAUGCAGUAGAAUAUGGCUGGGCUUCCUGCUGGGAGAUUCUGGAUCAAAUGUGCGAACCCAGAUGCCAUACCGUCGAAAGGAGUAGAGCCCGGAUAGUCCUGGUCAUGAUCAAGAGAAAAAUAAUCAGUUACCAAGAUUAAAGCUUUCUGAAAAUUUGGAAAUUUGGUCUCUUUUUACUUACUGAGAGAGAUUUCUGCACAUAGUAAAAAGCAAGUUGCUCCUUCAAUGAUACUGUUUCGCCACCAUCCGACUCCUUACCCAAAGAAACGAAUGCCACGAACAUAGAAUGCGAGGCUCGAGCUAUCUGCCCAUGUGGAUGUUCCAUAUAUCUGACAGCAUCUAUGUAAAGGAACCAAAAUUAAGGCUAUCUGAUUAAGAACAUCAUAAAAACAAAGUGCCUUUUGAAGGAUACAAGAACAUAGUUGGAGCCACCACGUUGCUGAAUAGAUCUGCAGGAAGGCGCUCGAUGCACGUAGGAAUAACGCGCAGGUAAAACAAUAUCCUGGAAGUCUGCACUUCAUCCUUCAACCAAGUAUAUUGCACUUGCUGAUGGAAAUCUGGAGACAUAUCAUUCGGAACUCUUAGUGGAUCAGAGUAUGCAAAAAGUAACUUGAUGAGAAUCGACUCUUUUCAGUACGAAACGUGUUACCUUUAGGGUUUGUCAGAUCAGCAUAACAAGGCAUGGAUUCCACGAAAGAGCUGCAAGCAGCCUCAUUCUCCUGUACACUUACAACGACACCUCGUAUCGUGUCCAUAUACUCAGGUAAGCGAAUACGACGAAAGUACUCCAUGCAAGAGAACGAGACUAAUAUCGAUACUGAUGUCUUCAUCAGAGUUUCGAGGGAGAAGCUUGAGCUCAACUUGUGCUUACUAACAGUCAAGGCAAAAACAACAACCAUAAGGAAGGAAGACUCAGCAAUUUUCUCAAUAUUCGCAAGCAACGGAUCUUCUCUACCACGAAGCAAUAAAGCUGCCCGCCGAUGGCCUGAAUAUAUCUCUUGGCAGAAGCGCCAAACCGCAUUCUCAACGAUGUUCUUGCCCUCUUCAUCUGCUGAGACAUACUGGUUGCAGAAAACAGCACUUACGGCCCCUGCUUCUUUGAAAAGAACACUAUUCAGGUGAUUGUUUACUUCGUCGAACUCCAGUAGUGGUGAACUGACUGAAGCAACAAUUCUCGUGUAAAAACCUCGCAAAGGGAAUAUCUCGGUCAGUAAUGCUGUAGCAAGAGACAGUAGCAGAGGAACUCGGGAAGAUACUGAGCCAGCUCGAGCUAAAGCUAAAGAAACACACUGGAAUAGAAGACUGGUUGAACCAUCAUUGACCUUAGCGUUUAAUUUCUGUGCGAUGGAUUCUAGCAUAUAUUCUGAAGAAGCCCUCAAUCUGGAAACCAAAUCCAACCGUUGACCAAUCGGAACCGAUCUAUUUAAUGCUCUGAGAACACCUCCUGCAGCCAUAAUAAGGGAAAAUGGUGGAUAGUCUGGUUUUCGGGUUUCGAGAACCUCUUUUGUAAAAGUUUCUAGCUUUUCCUGAGAACCUAAUUUCAUGAUACCAGGUAUAACCCAUUCUACCAAAUGCAAAAUCAUGAGACCGUUUGUUAAGCUACUACACGGUCCGUCUUCCUUUCCCCAAAUCCCCAUUAACGAAUCCAAAACCCUAUGAUAGUGUACAUUCACGGAAGAACACAAGGCAUACCCGAUCCCGGCAAGAAACACUUCAACUGAACGAGCCAGUCUAUAGUCUUCCUCCAACAGUCUCGAAACCAAAUCUAGACAUACUGUUUUAGAACGUUCCGAUGCAGAGGUCACAUAUGAAAGGGCACCUAGAAGAAGAAUUGUAUACGAAAAUAACACCGAGUCCUUUGUAGCUCCAUAUUCGCUCGCCACAAACUUGGACAAGACCUCUGCAGCUGAAUCUAUUACCAUAGAAGAUGGUCUAGAGGACUUCAUAACCCAGACAUAUAGCAGCCGGAGCAAAAGAGGAUGUGCUUCGCUAGGAAGAGCGAGUUUCUCCAAAAUGGCAAGUAAAAGCUUUGCUUGAGGAUCAGCAACGUAAAGAGAAUCUUCGGAGUCUCUCAGAAGGGUCAAAGACUGCAGGUGACGGGGUUGGAAUACUUGGCUGUGAAGGCAGUCUCUAAGAUCAGCCCAUGCUUGAAUGAUGUUACCAGUAGACGAAGAGGAAAACUGGCUUGUGGUGGUACUGCUACUGCUACUGCUACUGCCACUAAUGCUGUUGCGGCAUUUCUCCCGCUUGUGGUGGGACUGCUACUUCUACUGCUCCUGCCACUAAUGCUGCUGAGCCAUUUCUCGAGAAAUAGAGUGUUUCUUUGUCUAGACAUCUUGUUACUGUCACAAUUGAAAUUUGAACACACCAGUUUUUGUUCAAACUGAUCUAGAGGUUCACUUUUCCACCAGCACUAAAAGCAUUUGCUCCUCUCCCUUCACAUCUACAAACACCAUUCACAAAUAGUAGGUCUUAUUCAUUGCAGUAAUCACACUCUAACUACAUUACUUAUGAAGCACAUUGACAGUUUUUCUUUUCUAACUAGUUUUGACUACCUGGAAGCACAGAAGGAAAUCCAAAUCGACAAACAAGAGCAACAGAGUUCAGGAAACUACAUCACUUAUCUACCCCAAAGUAUCAUAUCAGCAUACCAGCUACCAAUUUCAGCGAAACUACGGAUUACGAGCAUAACCAGGUAGCGAAACGACUAUGGGAAUUGAAAGAUAAUUACCCGCUCCUUCAUGUUGAGCGAACGCAAUCACCUUCCCCACCUUGGAGCGAGGGAGCCGAUGGAAGAAUCCGAAUUUUGUUAUCGUUCUAUCCGAACUUUAUUGGGUUUCCCAAGUGGGAGAAAGAAGUUCAGAUGAAUGACGAACUCUAUCGAUGGAAACUGAUAAGUGAUAGCCGUCACAAAUUUUGCCCGGCGGUGUAUUUUUUGCCGGGGAGAUAUUAAACGGUCAGAGUGUUGAUGAGCUAAUAGUGUUGUUGAUCAAAGCUUACAGAAGCCAAUUGAUAAGCCCAAACUCAUGAUGGCCCAAUUCUUCUUUAAUUAACAUAUCUUAUAGAAGCCCAUUUACUAACCAUCCGCGGCAAACUUUAGCCCAGUAAGAGAGCGGAAGUCGAUCUUAUGGAAAUGUAGGGGGCGUAAGAAUGGAUAACAUAGACAUCCAACAACGUUUGAAAACUAUAAUCAGGAACCGCAUUAUACAAUUUGUGAUAAAGAUUGCGAGGGUACCAUAUGAGGAGAUAUAUCUAUAAUUAAUUGUACAAGAGUAUAUAAUGGUAUUAGAAGGUGUGUUAUAGUGUGUAUCGAGAAUUACUAGAUCGUGCUCACCUUAGAUGAUGAUAUCCGGAUUUUAUCCAUUCCGGGUAAGUCGUUGUUUUGAAGUUAUUGGGUUCAAAACCGAGCUAAACAUAUGUGGCAAUAAGACUUAUACCGGGCCGAGCAUGCAGAGUAUGCAUGGCUGAAUUCAUAGGUCUUUUCCAGCAUUAUCGGCCAAAUGGUUUUAAUAUCCGGCUGCCACCUCUCAACAAAUGCCUCCAGAAGAGGCUCAUUAACGUGGAUCGACAUGCACUGGCUCAAGUGAAGAAGUCUCGAUCCUUGCAUGAUCGGCCAAAUAGUCUUCGUCUGGAUGUCGAACUCGCUCACUGUGUCUCAUUACUUAGGGCGCUUCAGGAACCUGAAGACCUUUAGAUCUAUGUAUCCCCCGUAAGACUGCCACGAGUAUUGCACAAUGUGACCUCCAAAGUUGGGGAUCACUGUCGGCGUCUUCGGUCUACCAUCUGAACGCCCUGCAGUAAGCUCUCAAGUACGACUGAGUCCAUGUCAGUGCACUCCAAUGGCAGUCUCCUCCUUCCGGACCCGCGCAAGUCGGCUAGGUUUCCCUCCUCUAACGCCAACACUCACGGAGGCAUGUGACGAGCCUGUAAAAGUGAGGUGCGGAGAAGCCAUGUGCGCGGAAGUCUGUGUGUUAUCGUACUCAAUCCCCGACGGUGGAUCCUCAUCCUCGUCAUCAUCUUCCGGAAACGACCUAACCAGGUACGUAAUAGGAGGGUACCAGUCGGGGCAACCGUAGAUUUUCAACUUCUUGUUUUUCUUUGCUGCCUCUCCCUCUUUCCGCCUCGAAAUGGUGAUCACUCUCUCUUUCUUCCGAUCUAAAAUGCCCACUUGUUUUCCUUUCUCUCUCAUUUUCUGGAUCCCAUCAGUUUCUUCCUCUACCGGAUCCUGACUGUGCGAUUUACCUCCACCAUUUGUCUUCGCCAUAGUUUUCACCAAACUGCAUUUAAACAAAUGAACGUUUCUAAUACAAUUCGCUUUCUGCUAAAUUAGGUUCACUUACUAUUCCUAACAAAAUCCUAAACCCUAACUAAAAAUUAUCUAAUUAUCCUAAUUACUCACUAACAAUUAUUUAAGUACACUAAUCACCCACUACUAAUUAUUCUAAAUAUUCACUAACAUUCUCUAAUUACACUAAUCACUCACUAAUAAUUUUCUAAUUAUCAUAAUUACACUAAUUAAAUUAAUUAACUUUUUGAAAAAACCGGCCGGUCGGGGCCUCUGAAGGCACUUUUUUUGAUUUCGUUCCUGAAACGAUCGCUUGGAUCUUCGAUUUCUUUUUCGGAUCAAUGUUUGACAGUGUUUGUGAGAGCUUGUGAGUGUUUGAUUGUGUUUGAGUUAGUCAAUAUACACAACUUCUUAUAUGGAUUUUAAUUUUAUAAAAAAAUAAUAUUGUUAUUUACUCAAAUUAGGGCGUCAUUUAAUUCAAAUGUUAGAGCGUCAAAUAAAGAUUCAGCUUGAAAAUGGCUGCGGCGAACUUCUUGAACUUUGUGAGGCUCCCGCAGGCUGCGAUAGGGUAAGUAAUCCAGAGUUGGAGCCAUCUUAUGGACAAGAUGCUGGUUCUCGCCGCCGAUUUGUAGGAUUUUAAUCUUUUAAAAAUCAGGUGGAUGAUUUCAUCCGGUAGUUGUGAGAACUGGUCGACGGCGGCCGGUGAUAUUGUCUUCCUCCUCAUCUUCCUCCUCCUACUCAUUAAUGCCGUUGCUUUUUUGUCCCCCGAAACAAAUCACUGUGCAAUAAUUAAUUUAUAAACAAACGGUGAAUAACAUAAUAAGAUAAUUUAGCUUAAAUAAUUAUUGGUAAUGGGCUAAUCAUCUGUAAAUAUUUAUAAUUGGUAGUACGCUAAUCAUUUGUAACUAUUUACACCACGAAUUUAUAACUAGUUAUAAUCACCGGUCAGAUUCCUCCUACAAAAACGUGAGAUUGACAAUUCACAAUGGACGUUGAUAAUGCAUUUACAUUACCUAAAAAAAGUAAUCGCACCGAAACUUUCGAUAUAUCAGGUACACUAAAGAAUUUCACCUUAAUUAAGGGCUUUAUGAUUGAUUAAUUUAGAUUUAUGAUCAAAAAUCAAAGUUUGGGGUACGAUUAAAAAAUUGAUUUUAUAUAAUUUAAUGUUUGAAAGUUAGAAUUUAGCGUUUAAUGAUUUAACAUUAAUGUCUAAAAUUAUAUGUGAGGUGUUUAUAAUUUAUUGUUUCGAUUUAAAAUUUUAGAAUGAAUAUUUGUAAUAUUGAACAUACCGUAUAUACAUAUAUACCAAAAUCCACAUAUAUUUAACAUUUAGGAUUGGUAUAUGAAUGGACAAUGUAACUGUUUUGAUUGGAAGAUCAUAUGGUACGUAGCAGCGGAGAAGGAAAUUAUUUUGGGAUGGAAACGUUGGAUAGUGGAAACUAGAAAGUGUAAUAACAUUAUAUUCACCUUUUUUUACUCGAUUCAGUCAAUUCCUUAAUUUUAAAAAUUAUUAACUGAAAAUCAUAAAAUUACUUAGUUUGGGCCUGGCAGACUGGGUAUCGGGAGGAAAUGAUUUGGACUCCGGCCCAGGAAAGAAAACAAAACGUGACUUUUGGUGCAAGGUGUGGUCAUCUCUGGUUCACAAUUAGAGUUAUGGGCUUCUCUCUCUCUCUCUCUCUCUCUCUCUCUCUCUUCAUCAUGACGAAUAUUUCACCUACUCAGCACGGGCUCAAUACGAAAGAAAAUUUUGGAGCUCAGCUCACAGCGAUUUGGUUCACUAAAUUUGAACCUACACUCCGCGAGGGAGAAGAAGGAGACCAUCUUUCCCAUCCUUCUUCUUCUUCUUUUACGUAGCCUCACUGUGAGAAGCCCUCUAAUUCCAGCUAUGCCGGAGCUCACAAAGCUGCACUCGAUGCAGGAAGCUUCCGAGCACAACUCCAAGGACGAUUGCUGGAUCGUCAUCGACGGAAAGGUGCUGGCUCCCCCCUCCUCCUAAACCUAUUGAGCUUCCAUGAUUUCUGCUCUCUUCCACGUUUAUGGCGUUUUUUCACACCGAUAGAUUGGUGUUUAUUAACCUUGAUUGAUUGUGGUUUUGAUUUGCCGAUGAAAUUUUGAUGUACUAGUUUAGCUAGGAUUUGGGGAUUGUAGCUUGGAUAUUGAGUUCUUUCGAUGAUUGAUUACUCUAGAUUAGCGAAUCCCCAUCUUUAGUUUUUCAUUAACUUUUGUGGUUUAGUUGUAAUCAUACACUACAUUGGUUGAUGAGGUUUCAGAUGAGGUUGUGAAAGCUUACACCUCUCUUAGUUUAUUUUGAUAUGCGUAAAAUUAAGUAGUCAUUGGUGUUGCCUCUUGCUGGAUGCUGAGCCUGAGGAAAUUAGUGGCUGCAAGAGCUUCAGUGCAGUGAAACAGUCUGUAAUUGGCUUCUUAAACCAGCUUGCGAGGAAAAGCAUGACUAUAGUGUUAGUCUGAUACUCUGAUUAGAUAUGACAUGGUUUUAGUAUGAAAUAGUGACCAAUACGGGUGGUUUGAUGGUUUGCUCGUCUUGUACAUAGUUUCACUUACCAGAAACCAGACAGCUAGUAAUUUGUUGCAUUAGAAACUAUUUGAUUUUGUGAACCGCCGUCCCUUAAUCAAUGUUCAAUUGGUUCUACAAGCAAUUAGAUGAAGCUGCAUUUGCAUUGGUAUACAGUUCAUUGUUUCAAUUAUCGAAUUGUUAUGCAACUCUUUCCAAUUUGGUGAUUCGUCUGUUUCGCCUGUUGGAUUCUAAUGUUUGUCUUUCUGACAAAUUCCAGGUUUACGAUGUGAGUUCAUACCUAGAUGAUCACCCAGGAGGAGACGAUGUUCUCCUUCAAGCAACAGGUACUAUCUCAAACUUUUCCCUACAUUAUGCACUAGUUCUGAUUUUGAACUUCAUGUUAAACCCAUUGCAUUCUCGGUAAACUUUUAUGAAGGGAAAGAUGCAACCGAUGAUUUUGAAGAUGCGGGGCAUAGCCAGGACGCAAGGAAUGAGCUGAAAACCUUCUUCAUUGGUGAGCUAGACACAACGACCACACCAGCCAUCCCGGAGCUCAAGAUCAUUUCCAAGAAUGAAAAGUCGGAUUCCGUGAAGAAGCUUAAGGACUUGACAAGACAGUACUGGGCUGUACCUGUAGCAGUCGUAGGAAUCUCUGUGGUGGUUGGCGGCAUCAUCGUGUACCUUCGUAAGAAGUAGAGAAAAUGAUGCUGUUGAAUCAAACUUAUUCUCCCCCUACUAUCAUGCUAUAGUUAACGUCCUAGAAACGUCUUACCUCGAAAAUUUUGGAACUACUGCACAAUCAUUGUUUGGCUUCUUGUUCGAUUUUCUGGGCAAGGGCUGUUUCAGAUUCCGUUCAUGACAGAAUCGUAUGAAUGAAUGUUAAGAAGAGCUUUACAGUGAUUCGAGUGGAUUAUAAAUAGUGGCUUCUUAUUCUUAUGUGGUUACAAGUUUACAACUGCUAUAAAGAUCUAGAAUUUCUUAUGCACAAACUCACACGGCAAAAACCAAAGUUCUGUUCAUUUAUUCUUCACUUUCAUCUCCAGCAUCAAAACGUUCAGGCGGCUAACGAAGAGGCGCGUCUGUAGUUCUUUCUCACAGCCUUUGAAUCUUUUGUCGAGCCAUCCACCACUAAACCUUGUGCACCAAAGCACAAGUACUUGUUCAUCAGCUUCGUGUUGAGUGAUGUCUGCCUCUUAUGACCCGCCCUGAACUUGGAUGAUGCUGGCGAUUCGCCGACAAUCUGGUCUUGAUUCGAUGAAGCUGGCGAAGAGAUGUAAGAGAACGAGGAUAAAGGGCUGUAAGUCGAUUGUAUUGGACCAGAGAAACUCGGCUUUGCAUGUAUGACUCCAUGCAUCAACUCUGCGGCAAAUUUCCUUCUUGUUAAAGGACUUGGAAGAGCCGUUCCACUAACCGGACAAAAAGAGGAAAGCUUAGAGUAUCGUUUCCUCAAUGGAGGUGGACACUCUUCGAAGUUUCUGCAGAGAUGGAACGAGUCUAUAGACUCAUCGUCUGUGGCAGUGCUUCGAACGCUACGAUCUUUAGCUUUUUUCCUAGGCCAUUGGAGUAAAGACUUCAACUUGCUUGCCGCGGAAGCUACUUUACUGGGUGAUGCCUUCUUCUCCGAAUUCUCGAAGCUCGCCUGUUCACUGUAAUCCGCGCUCCCCAGCUCUCGGCUAACAUCGGAGACAUACUCAACACCAGUAUGCAAGAAUAUCUCGCCAUCCGAAAUUCGAAAAGAGGUACCAGGGCUCAUCCCUAUGCCAUGACCUCCCCCUUGCAGUUUCGAAACAAUGUACUGCCUACUCGAGAGCCCUCCAGCCGAAACCAGCUGGUUGAUCAAAAUCUCGGAAGCUGCCGAUCUGGGCUUCUGCCGCAAGUAAUCCAACGGAGUCAUACCCUCCGAAUCCUUGAUGUUCAAGUUUAUGGAUGGCGCGGUCAUGAGAAGCUCGACUAAAUUCGACUGGAUGUUCUCGAUCACAGCAAUGUGGAGAGCUGUUCUUCCGUCGUUGUUCUUCAAAUUGAUGAUCUCUUCAAUGUUGAUGAUAUCGGAGGAGAGUAUCUGGUUCAUGAGCUCGAUCUGCUUGUCCAUUCGACGAAAACCGGGAGUUCUGAAGCCCGAAACCGCCAUGUGGAGGAAUGUGUCUCCGUAGACGUUUGUUAACGAGCUCAGAGAUGGACAUUCUUGGAGUAGAGCCUUGACUACUGGUAAGUGACCUCUGUAUGCUGCGAUAUGAAGGGCCGAGUUCGAGUUAUUGUCGAUCGAAGUGACGAUAUGGUAUGAUGCUAUCAGAUCCUUAACCACCUGCAGAAACAAAAGAGAGAAAUUAUCCUGAUGAACUGCACCAGUCUGAAUGUUCGGUUUGCAAAUAUCUCGUCCCGAAACCUGGUUUGACUUAAAAUGAGCUAAGAUUGAGUUAGGGUACGUUUGACUCGAUAAGUUGGGGAGUUGACUCGAUUACAAGUUUGCUAUAUGUGACUUGCAAAUAACUAUAUCAAAUUUCUGUUUAUUUGAUCAAUUACUAUCAUGAUAAGUCGAGGUUAAUAUUCUAGUUGGAGCUCGGAUUCGCCUAAAAUCUUCGUCGAAAAAGAGUGAUUUUUACCUCAACUUGGCCUCUACCAGCAGCAGAAUGCAGCACUGUAGAACCCUGUUCAUCUCUGAACACUAAAACAUCAGAACAAUCCACAAGCAGCUCCUUCAAAAUCUCCAGAUUCCCGCCUCUAGCAGCACCAUGGACAGCUCGAUUCACAAUCUCCUUCUCAAACUCUGAUUGAUCAUUCUCCUUCAAUUCCUUCCCCGGCGGCGAAGUGGCGCUCCGUAGCAGAACCCUGAAAACCUCACAGUCCUUACUCCUCGCGGCGGCGUACAGCAUAUCCGUGACGCCGUACUCUCCUUCUCCGAACACAAGAAACGGAUCCCUCGCCAGCAGCUCAUUCACAAACUUCAGGUCGCCGGCGGACGCAGCCGUGUAGAGCAACCACCCGCCGUACCGGGCCCUGAGCAGGGAGCAGCCUCGCUCGCCGACGAUAUUCUGANNNNNNNNNNNNNNNNNNNNNNNNNNNNNNNNNNNNNNNNNNNNNNNNNNNNNNNNNNNNNNNNNNNNNNNCUCGAGCCGGCGGAUCCGCCGCAGGGAGGAGAGCUUGAUGAGGAGGUUGUUGUCCAGGUGGAGAAGCUCCCGGACUAAGUCGUAGUGUCCGUUCGCGGCGGCGAAGUCGAUCGGCGACGCGUACCACCACUGGUCUCCGGUGCUUUCCCACCGGAGCGGGAAAUUCGACGGCGGCGGCAUAUGGUGGAAAAAAACAGAGCACCGGAAGAACUCGUGACCGAGAAAAAAGUUUAAUUCUUUUUUCAAAGGGUUGCGAUUGAGCUUCUUAACAAUGGAGAGAUGGGAUUUGCAGACGCCAUUAGAGCAAAUUAGUGGGGUAGAUAGCCUACCAGAAGGAAAUUUUUUUGUGGAGGUGGAGAUUGAAAGUUACGUUGAAGGAGAGGAUGUACAGUUGGAUUUGCUUUGUGGGAUUUGGAUGAUUUUUGUAUCCUUUCCUUAUUGUGGAGAGGAAUUUUCCGAAAAGAUUUCUUUUUUCCUUGUUGUUUUCUGAUUGAUUUGUUCUUUUGCAGUAGAGAAAAGGAGUAAGAUUCCUUCUGUAAUUAUUAUCCUGUCGAGUUGAUUGAGCCACGCUAAUGUCUCUUUCUUCCCGCGUUAAUUCGUUAAGAGAGUGCGGAUCCUAAGACAAUUAACCACAGGAAAAAGUUUCGAAUUUUCGUUAGACUCACUAAUUCGAAUUCGAUGGAUAUGAAGUUCAUGAGUUAAUUAAAAUUUAAAAAGAAACAUCGACAAUAUGUGUAAAUUGAUAAUGAUCGGUUUUGUUACUUCAUUUCCAUUAAUGUCCAUCGAUUCGAUCUUCAGCCUACGAUAGCUAAUGGAAGGAAACUUCGAUAGAGUCUCCUUGAUCAAAAUUGUGAGGUUAAGAUUUUUGUUCGCCUAUCAAAUCAUAGUAUCCAAAUCUAACCAUACAUAAUUAUGUUCUUAUUUCAUUAUUUCAGAACAAUAUUAGAUGCUCCCAAUGCAUGGAUUCCGCACAUAAAAUUAAUCACUAGCAACUUCGCACGGUAUCAGAGAAGGCACUUCAGUUGAUCGGUGUGUUUGACCAACGUAGCUUCCUUGUUCGAAGAAACAAAGCCUUACCUUGUAGGAGUUUUCACAUAGUGAUCCAUCUCAAGUUCCAAUGUCGACAUAGAUUGGAGUUAGAAACUCCUUUGAGCAAGAAAACAACAAAAAGUUAAAUUCUUUGUUUUGAUCUCCAUAGAGAACUUCACCUGUAUGUAUGAAACCUGGCAUAUCAAAACUCCCUCAAGACCAACAACACAGCUUGCCGACUGAGAGCUAAUGAAUAAAAACAGCAUAGAAUCAAGCAUAUAAUUUUUACCAACACAAAGGGACGACUGGCCCAUCUCCACUGCACAUUGUCGGCUCUUAAAGCCAAAAAUAGAACCCACCGUCAAAUCAAUGGCUAAAACUUCAUGGAAGUUUUAACCUUUUUCAGAGAUAUAACGCACAUCCAAAUGCUAACGAGGAUAAACUGCCAAGAAAGUCGAGUAUUUGUGAUCACUAUGCUACUUGUCAUAUAAUGAGUACUCUAUUGUCAUAGAAUCUGGAAAGCACAAACUUCGCAUUCCCUCAACAUCUACCUUGUCACAUUCUACUAGAAGCACCAAACAAGUCUCUAGAGAGCCAACAUAUUUUUACGAGGGGUCAUGCUGAUCGGCACGAGUUCGUACUCCGUACAAAAGCACUCAAAACGACACAAGACUAAUAAAUUCACACAACAAGAUAAAAGAAAAAAACAAUACAUGAGAUCCGAAGAUAAAUUAUGAUUAGAUUCGAAUCCACAACCUUUCAAAGUGUUAAAACACCCACUUGAAAAAAGUUUUAACCUUUAGUUAUCUGUAGCAUUGGAUCACGAGGAUCUGCUCCCUUUACUCUUUCUCUCUUCUCCAAAUUGAGGGUUUCGGUGAGAUUCGGGUAUGUAGAUAGAUAGACAUGGCCAUGUGAAUAGAUCCGUGUCCCCGAGGUCAACACACUAGUUGCCAAUACAAUAUUGCAUCAAUCCAAGGAUGCGAGCCAAACCCUAACCCCACUUGCUUUGGCCAGAGAGCAGCUACAGAUCUUUAAAAGUUUGUCUCUUGUGAUCUGCAAAAAGGGUUCCCACUUGGACACACAGAGAAUGAAACUGGUAUCUAUCUUCCAAUCUUAGUAUCCGCUUGAUGAAAUGCAAUCAUGGGAAACAAGUUUCAACAAAUUUAGAGUUUGUGAGCUCACCCAUCUCAUGAGCAAAUGCAGUCAGUCAAACUGUCUUUCCCCAGAUAUUGAGUGAUGAAUCAUGGAAGCUGACAUUCACGUCACUGCUACCAUUUCCCAGGUCCGUGAAAAGUGAAAAGCAUUGACCUUUGCAUAUACCGUAACCACAAACAGCAGAGUUCAAAUCAAGUGAACUUGUUUCGAUAUGCUGGCUUCUCUGUAUUCAUACAUGCUUCAUGAAAGCUUCAAUCUUUUCAGCAGCAGCAAGCAUACCAUUAAGCCUAACUUCCUCCAGAAGAACAUUGCACGUUUGAUACCUAGGCUUUAUAUCCUUACUUAUCAUUUCCUCGAACAAUCGGUAAGCCCACUCGCAUCUAUCCGCUCUACACAGUCCAUGAAUCAAAAGCUUGUACGCCAACAUAUCGAGACUGAGAUGAUGCUUGUUCGCCAUAUCAUCCAACAACUGUCUCAAUAAACCAUCCACCUUCCAACUCUUCAAGCACGACUGAAGCAACGGACAGUACGUAUGAACAUCAGGCUUACACAUCAUCGAACUUUCCAUCUCCUUGAGAAGAUCGAAACCCCUUGAUGGUUGACCUUGAUGACAAAACAUCGCAACCAUUGAGUUAUAAGUCGAUGUAUUCGGCACCACACCCACCCUCGCCAUCUCUACAGCGAAAACACGAACCGCCUCCUCCACUUUCCCAGAUCUUCCGAGCAUAUGAAUCAAUGCGUUGUAGAACAACGUAUCGGGUCUACACCCAGCCGAUUUCAUCCUCUCCACUAUCUCCAAACCUCGAUCAUAAUCCUCCGAUUUCGUCAAAUGACACAGUAUUGUCGUAUAAGUAACAACAUUAGCUGGAGAUCCUUGUUCUUCCAUCUCAUCAAGAGCGCUAUACACCUCGCCGAACUUCCCCUGCUGGCAAUGGAACUGGACGAUGGUGGAGUAACUUAACACACAAGGCUUAACCCCGCAGCCUUUCAUCUCUUGUAACGUCCAGUAAGCCUCCUCGACCCGGUUGAUCUUACACCAACCGUGUAUGAAGAUAUUAUACGUGUUGGCAUUGGACGGAAUGUGUGCCUUCAGCUCCAAGAAAAUCUCGCGAGCUUUCUCAACUCGUCGCUCUUUACAAAGUGUAUCAAGCAAUAAAUUCAUCGACUCGGUACUCUUCCUCAGCCCGAAAGUCUCCAACUUAUCGAACAGCCUAACGGCAUCCUCCCACUGCCCUGCACCGGUGUACCUCCUCAUAGCCUUCCCCAGCGUCUUGAGCGUUACAAGAUUAUCUCGAUUCAUUUCGUGUAAGAAGGCAUUCAUCUGUUCCAUCUGCCUCAUCUUGCCCAAUAUAUCCACAACCGAAUCGUAAGCCUCGGGGGGUGACAGUAGUCCGGAUUCGAUGACUCGGCCCAUUUGAAAACGGCCAAUGCUGACUUCCAAUCAUCUUUGAAUCGAGAUAGCAACUUGGAAACGAGAUCUUGAGACGGUUGAAUGUUCUUACAGACGUUGUCUUGCAUUAGUGAUUGAAGAAUCUCGUUGUGGCUGCUGCCACCAUGGUCGUCAACUUUGGCUAUUAUGAAGCUGACAUCAGCCGGGUUUGCUGACUUAGUUUGCUCUUGUUCAUCGAAUCUAGUGGCUUGUUGGGAAAGAGAUCGGUAAUCAAAGGCAUAUAGGCCACGAGAGUUCAGCAGACUGAGAAAGGAUAUGGAAUGCCUCGGAAGCUUUUGAAGAAACACCAUGAAUCAGUUUGAAAUUUAUGCUGAUUAAUCUGCCAUGGAUAUGGAGAGUCAGAUAUCAGAAUCAAAAAUAUCACUCAAUAAGGUGUUUUCAACAGUGUAGAAGCUCCAAACUAAUACAGGUACGACAAUAGAACAAAAGCCAAGGAUUCACAAGGACUGACGAAUUCAGUAGAGCUUAAUAACGGAUAAGCUCGAUUAAACAGUAAAAAAAGAGCCUUUUUUCAGUAAUUGAUAGUUGGUUUUUGAAUACAGGGAUCAAAAGAGGGUUCUGGGAGAGACGGAGAGAAAAGGGGUUACCAAGUGAACUGAGAGCCGGAGGGAGGACUGUGUGAAGCUGUAUCAGGUAGUUGGUGCGACGAUAUAAUACAAACAGGCGGCGGGAAAGGCGAGCAAGUUGGAUACGGCGGCGAGGAUGCAAGGCGGCGGAGAAAGACGGAGCAGGGAAGUAAACUGUCGGCCAGAGAAGUAAAAAGAUGGGUCGCCGGAAGCUAAGAAAAAACCGGAGGGGAAAUGAGCCGGGCGGAUACGCGUUAAGUUAGAAUGGGCUAAAAGCCCAAUAUCAAGGCCCGAUAUUCACGACCAAGGAAAACCUGGUCGAGAAAGCCAAAGCCAAACAACAGAAAACAGAGCUUUUGAAACAAAGAAAAAGCCGUUGAUAAUUUAAUUAACAUUAGAAACGUCUGGUACUGAAACUCAGAGCCCAUAUCACAAAACCAAACAAACUUCAAAACCUAAAUUCCUCUCCUUAUUCCAUAUUAGCUAAAAGGGUUCCAUCCGAAAAAGACACCUCCGAUACCACAGUAAACAAAAGCAGGGAAAAACAUGAACAAUCGUCAUGACAUUGAGAAUCCACCAAAAGCUUCAGACGCCAUUUCCACGUCCUAGUCUCUCAGCCCCUUCAAAGGCUCUUCGCCAUGUGGGAGAUCAGGUCCACUACACGGGUACUGUAGCCCCAUUCGUUGUCGUACCACGACACAAGCUUGACGAAGUUGUCGUUCAAUGCAAUUCCGGCCUUGGCAUCGAAGAUGCUUGACCUGUUGUCACCGAGGAAAUCAGCAGAGACAACAUCCUCAUCGACGUAUCCAAGAAUGCCCUUGAGUUUACCCUCAGACUCCUCCCUGUAAAAUACAGCACCAUCAUUAUUAGUUGGAUUCAGAGAACAAGACCGGAUGCUGCAGGUGAAUGGAAUGAAGGAUUACUUGAUGGCAGCCUUGAUUUGCUCGUAGGUUGCGGCCUUCUCGAGCUUGACGGUCAAGUCAACAACUGAGACAUCAGCAGUUGGGACACGGAAAGACAUUCCAGUCAACUUGCCGUUGAGUACUGGGAGAACCUUGCCCACAGCCUGAAAUGGAACAACUAUUGAGUACUGACUCGCACAAUUACAAAGUGGAGAUCAAUAUUGCAAGAAGCUCUCUAAUUAGUAUAAUACCUUGGCAGCUCCAGUGCUGCUGGGAAUGAUGUUGAAGGAAGCGGCUCUUCCGCCCCUCCAGUCCUUGUUUGAUGGCCCAUCAACAGUCUUCUGGGUGGCUGAAACAAGAGAAGAUAGAAAACCAAUCAGAUUACAAUUACACAAUAAGCAAUCAAAUAGAGAUAUAUAUAAACUUAAACCUACCAGUGAUAGCAUGGACAGUGGUCAUGAGACCCUCAACGAUUCCGAAUCUGUCAUUGAUAACCUGCAACACACCAAAAGCAAACAAAAUCAGAACCAAUAACUAGACAUUUUCGUUAUUGAUUCAAUAACUAGUGGAUGGCAAGCUUUACCUUGGCCAAAGGAGCAAGGCAGUUAGUGGUGCAGCUAGCGUUGGAGACGAUGUCAAGCUCUGGCUUGUACUCAUGCUCGUUGACACCAACAACAAACAUGGGUGCAUCUUUGCUUGGGGCAGAGAUGACAACCUUUUUAGCACCACCCUGAACAAAAGGAACCAACAAACACUUAAGAUCCAAUCAACAAUUCAACAAAGUCUUAAAUCAGAUCUGAAGCAUCAUUGAAUCCUAACAUCAAGUCAAAGAUAGUAAACGCUGAUCCUGUAUGAUACAUCCAAAAUCCAUCAAUCAACGAAAUCAAACAUAGCACGAACCUUCAAGUGAGCUGCGGCCUUGUCCUUGUCAGUGAAAACACCGGUGGACUCAACUACGAAGUCAGCACCAACUGAGCCCCAUGGGAUCUCCUCAGGGUUCCUGAGACCGAAAACUUUCACGUCCUUGUCGCCGAAGGAAAGGGUGCUCUCAUCCUUCACCUUCACAUCACUGUGCUUCCAGUGACCGUGAACGGUAUCAUACUUGAACAUGUAAACCUACAUCACAAACAAUAUAUAACAACCGAAGUCUCAGCCAACCAGAUCUAUCAACUCAAUUUCCUCCCGAAGUCAAACUAGCAGAGAUUCAAAAAACAAGCUGCAUACCAUGUAAUCGGUAGGGAUGAAAGGAUCGUUAACAGCGACGAGCUCAACAUCGUCUCUCUGAAGAGCAACCCUAGCAACCAAACGACCGAAACGGCCGCAUCCCACAACACACACACCAAUCGUGUCGGAGGUUGAAAGCAACGAAGAGCUUACCCAUUGAGAUUGACGAGAAAGGAGAUUUGAAAAUUCGACGGAGAAAUCGAGAAGCUGUGAAAAUGGAGAUUUGAAAGUGUGAUACAAAGUGAAGAAGAGCUGGGGUAUAUAAAGGGAGGGUUUAAGCCAGUAAUCACGUGAGUGGGAGGGUUUUUAUUUUCCUUUUUUAUUUUUAUAUUUUGCCUUGGGGAAGAAGAAGGAUUAACGAAGCCCGCCGGUUUUAUUAAUUGCUGUUUAUGGUUUGUAUUCGCCGCUGAUUAAUCGCCGUUGAUUAUAGAAAGAGAGGGAUGAGCCCACGCGCUGCAUUCCAGUUUCAGCUACACGCGUCAUAAAUUGUUCCCAAGAAGGGAGUAAUUAAUAUCAUGUAAGUCUCUUUUUUUUUGCAAAAUUAAUGAUGGUUUAAUUAAUAACAUAAUUAAAAUGAUCGGAGUUUAGGUAAAAUUAUAAAAUUAGAGUAUUGAAAAGAAAUUAAUUUGACAAUUUUAUUUAAAAUUUAAUCAAUAUAAAAGUAAAAUUAUUUAAAUAAUUCUGAGUUGACUCAUCCUUAAUUUAGUUACAAAUUUAAUGAAAGAAAAAUAUAACACUAUUUUAAUUAUAAUAGAAUGUAACAUAUGCGUAAAUUUUACUUACAUCUCCUUAUAAAAUAAUAAAAAUACACAAAAUUAUAUUGUAUUUCUUCCAUUGAUUACUAACAAUAUUAAAUAUAAUUCAUUGUAGCCAUUAAAAUUUAAAUACACAUAAAAAUACAUAAAAAGUGUGAAAUAACCGGCAUAAGCAUCUAAAUUGGAAAAAAAUGGUGGCAUGACUUAUACUUUCAAAAAUAAACCAAUAUAGAAUCUUAUAUAUAAUAAUGUACCAAAAAAAGCGACUUUCAAUCCAAGGAAAAAUAUUAUAAUUAUAAUAAAUAAAGCUUGGGGUUCGGAAGGUGGGGGACAAUCGCCUUUUGUUGAAAGUGGACACGUAAGUGCAAGAUGAAAGGGAUAUUCCGAAGGUUGUCGAGGAUUUAUUCCAUGGGCCAUGUCGGACUGUCCGAUUGGGCCCAAAGCAAAGUUGGUUCGUCAAACCCAAACAUAGCACGGAAUGAUCUAGAAAGUGUCUCGGUAACGAAUGUGAAUGUAUCUAUUUGACCUAAAGCCAGGAAUGCAUCUUUCUGUGGCUGCAAAUUCCUUGCCCUUCAAACAUUUAUGCAUCUUUCCAAAAGAGGAACAGUCAAUUUCAUCAUCUACAAACGUACGUACUACUUACACAAGUCCACGUAGAGUUGGCAUGAGUAGAAUAGUUUUGAUGAUAGAAAUGUUUUAGAAAAUCUAUAUAGCACCACUAGCGGUGGAUGCUCACAAAGCAGUUUUCUACAGCUCCGCACCCGGAUCGGUAAUAGAAUCAGGAUGGUCGUAAAUUAUAGGCGGAGGGAUCAAUAUAUUUUGAAAAUGAGUUGAGUUGGUUUCACCCUCAAUUCUCUUAUCGCUCGUGGGUGAUAACUAUAGCGAAGUAUUAUUUGAUGGUGACAAUUGAGUUCUCACUAGAAAGAGAAGUAUUAAUGAUUUGAAUAUACAUUUUGAUAUGAUAACUAAAAAGGAAGAUAAUGAGUAACGUACAUCUAUCAAGUUAUCUCGCACUAUUUACAUAUUGAGUAAUUAUUUCUUUGCAGUUUGCACCACUCUUGUGUCUUGAUCGCCUCUAAGUUUAUACCUAAUUAUUAUAAUCAGAGAUUAUUACCUAAUUAUUACAAACACACUUGAUCACCUCUAAUUUUUUACACUCAUUAUCGAAAAAAUUUAAUCACAGUAAUGAGAAAAAAUAUAAAAAAUUAUUUCUUACCGAUAUACUAAAACUUCAUAAAUAAUAUCUUGAUCACCUCUAAAUUUUUACCUAAUUAUUAUAAUCGGAGAUUAUUACCUAAUUAUUACAGAUACUUGAUCACCUCUAAACUUUUACACUCAAGAAAAUUUCAUCACAAUAAUGAGAAAAAUGUGAACAAUUACUUCUCAUCGAUAUACUUCAAUUUUAUAAACAAUAGAUUUCAAUGCCGAAAAUUCUUUCACAAUGGGCUGCAGGGAUCUAAGGAUAUGUAUUAGUAUAUGGGCCGAGAAGGCAUAUAAACUGAAGCCCAAACUGUAAAAUCAAAAACAAAAUAUGAAAAUUCUGGCUUCGCCCGGGUUCGAACCGGAGACCUUCAGUGUGUUAGACUGACGUGAUAACCAACUACACCACGAAACCAUUGAUAUUAAAGUGUAAUCCUUUUAUUAGUAGUAUACGGAAAACUAGGUUGGCAGCCGGACAAUAUUGACUGUGAUCGUGGACGAACCUUCUCCGCGUAAUCCUGAGAAUCCGUUUCCCAUCCAAAGCCCAAAAACCAGCACAAGAAUAUAUACUUUCACACAGUCAGAUCAGAUCUUUCUUUCUCAAUUACUUUUCCAACUUUGCUUUCCUUCUACGCACAAUCUCCUCGUUUGAAAGUUUCCUUCUUUUAUCUCGCUCUCUCCGCAACUCAAAACUGCACAAACAUGUCUACUGCGUCAAGAUGGAUUCGACCCGAGGUAACGCCGAUCCCCCAUGUCUCAAUUUUCACUCUGGUUGCUCUGGUUUCUCGAUGAUAAUGAUAAAGAAACUCUAUUUUGUACGUCAGGUGUUCCCUCUGUUUGCUUCCGUGGGUGUCGCCGUUGGGAUUUGCGGGAUGCAGCUCGUCAGGAACAUCACUGGCAAUCCUGAAGUCAGGUAUAUUCAGGGUGUUUCAGGGUUUAGGGUUUUUCUGAUGAUUGCAUUUGUGGGUUUAGCCGUUUAGGGUUUUCUGAUGAUUGGAUUUUGUGGUACUGUUUAUGGAAUUUAGGGUGACUAAAGAAAACAGGGCAGCUGGGAUUCUUGAUAACCAUAAAGAAGGUGAGAAGUACAAAGAACAUGGGCUGAGGAGGUUCGUUCGUACUAAGCGCCCUGAGAUCAUGCCAGGGAUCAAUGGCUUCUUCUCCGAUCCUCAGCUUCCAGGCCGUUGAACUGGUCCGUGUUCAGCUUUAUUAGUUUUAAUGAUCACAUUGAGGUUUCUCAAUGAUUGGAUAAGACGGAUCAAUUCUUUGCAGAUGCUGCUGAAGAACUUGUUUCUCUUUUGUUGCGGUAGAAGUUUAUGAUUUAGAAUCGAUAUGGAUGAUUCAGACAGAUCAAUUCUUUGCAGCUUGAUUCUGCUGAAAACCUUGUUUCUCUGUUGCGGUUUUAAGAUACGAUUGGAAUCCGCGUGGGUGAAUAAUAAUAAAGUUUGAUUCUUUGCAGCUUGAUUGAGUUGAUGCUGUGAUAUUUGUUUCUUUCCUUGCAGUUUGAGUUUUGGAUUAGAAUCUACGUAGCUGAAUCAGAAAGAUCAGUUCUUUUGCAACUUCAUUGAUCGAUUGAUGCCGUGAUACAGGUUUCUUAUUUCAAGGUUCCAAGAUAUUAUCAGGAAUCAUUGUGGAUGAAUACGUAAGAUUGCUUAUUUGCAGCAUAAUCGAUUGAUGCUAUACUUUUUCCUUUUGUUUUGGGUUUAAGAUACAAAUUAGAAUCAAUGUGGAUGAAUAAGGAAGAUCAAUUCUUUUGCAGCUUCAGUUAUGGUUGUGUCAAGCUUGUGUUCAUUUGCUGCAAUUGAGAAAAAUUAGAAUUGAAAUUGAUACAGUAAACAUCUGUUUUUUUCUUCUAAAUAGGGAUUCGGUAUGAAUCCAGAUAAAACGGAACUUCUUGAUCCAUCACCUGCGUCGUUUGUGUUGCAUGUCAUCGAGGAAUCUGAUGUUGGAGAUUGUGCAUCCCGUCGAUUCGUUCAUGCUGAACAAUUGAAUAUGACUACAGAUCGACUUGUUUCUUCCCGUUUGAUCCUUCUGUUUCACUUGGACGUGUAUGUCCAAGACACUCUUGCCACAGGCACAUCCCACCAGAUUGUGGACAUCGUAAAUAGAGUCUGAAGCCUAAUCACCAAACUACGAAUAAAGAACAGCUGAAGAAUAAUUCCGAGUAUUUUGCCCGGGUUGUGAUUUUUUUCGAUGGUAUGCUGAGAUAAGGAGCUGUAGGGGCAUAUGUAGAUUCACAAGGUUAAUUUUGAAGGUAUACUGAGAUUUAGCAAUGGUGGCUGCUGCAGAUACACAAUGUUAACACUCUCGUCUCUUGGCAAUCCAAGGCCUUCUCUGCUUGUUUUCUGCUGUGAAUCUUUUAUUCACAUUCCUCUGAACUACUAUUCUUUUGUAACGGUAAACCUGAAAGAGGCUCAAAGGUACAAAUAUUUACAUAAUGAGCCCUAACAUCUGGACAAGCUACAAGCUGUAUAAUAAAUACACUUGGAGAUGAGAUUACAUAUAGCAGAAGAGCACGGAGUUUUAUUAAGAUUAUCAGAAUUCAUGACUGUUUUUAUCAAUUCACUCCUCGAUACAUGGCACCGGGUCGAAGAUCAUCCAUACUGUCGAUGUUUCUGUAGCCGUCAACCUCCCUUAGACAUGUCCAUCCCCUUCGGCUCAGAAACUCCCGGUAGUCGUCCUCAGUAUAGAACAGUUUCUCCUCGGUGUGAACUGGAAUGUGGUCCGUUUCGUCGUACAAGCACACUUUUAUAGCCAAACCUUCGUCGAGGUGAAGACUGUAGUUCCCCAAAGGCAUGUCCCGGUCGAGGCUGCGUAUUACUUGGUCUUCAUCUUCCAGCCAGAACGCCCGUUUCGUUCUCAAUCUGAAAGCCGACCUGAUAGCCUCCUUGAUGGCAUCAGCGGUGCCAUCGAUACCGAUCUUUCUCAAGUAGUCUCCAUAUUUGACUGAUAUCACCCUCCCGCCAUAUGACUGACUUUCGGAGCCUGCAUAACAGAAACAAAUGUCCUAAAGACACCAACCAAAUAACCGCGAAAAAUGAAUUCCGGUUAAUGUAUAUUCCUCACCACUUGCAGGGGUUUCUCUCCAGUUCCAUGGAGGAACUCCACUUGCUCCAACAGCAUCGGUUGCGGUGAUUGCAAGAGGAUGACCGUCAUGAUCCAAGCGUCUUUCAAGAUUCAGUGUUGGCC
This 52591-nucleotide long non-coding RNA is filed under the name Linum usitatissimum (flax). Its description in RNAcentral is "long non-coding RNA (LUSI_LNC005075)". Lineage: Eukaryota; Viridiplantae; Streptophyta; Magnoliopsida; Malpighiales; Linaceae. The record is from RNAcentral.